This 59327-nucleotide long non-coding RNA is filed under the name Populus trichocarpa (black cottonwood). RNAcentral's name for it is "long non-coding RNA (PTRI_LNC004305)". The stretch from base 52198 to 52287 matches the Rfam family "MIR478 microRNA precursor family". The record is from RNAcentral. Lineage: Eukaryota; Viridiplantae; Streptophyta; Magnoliopsida; Malpighiales; Salicaceae.
AUUAAAGAAUGUGGGGCCCAUGUGAUCGCAAAGAAGUUAAAUUCAUUUGAAGAGUCGGCAAUGGGAAGAGCUACAGUGAUGCCUUCACCAUCGCUGUAUCAUCUGCUUCCUCAUCCCCAUUGUGGUUCAAUUACAGCAUCUACACCUAAGCAAUGGAGUAAUUAUUUAUUUGCGAAGCUGCAAGAAUAUAACCUCAGUUUAACAUUUCAUGGUAAGAACAAAUAUUUCCUUUAGUUAUUUUUAUUCUAUUAUAUUUAAUUUAUGAGAUUAAAUAUUAUCUUUAAUUAUUUCAUUAUUAUUAUUUAAUCUAAAACAUUAAAUAUCAUCUUUAAUUAAAAAAUAUAUAUAUAUUUAAGGCUUUUUGGUAAGAAUACAUAUUUCCUUUAGUUAUUUCUAUUUAAUUUAAGAGAUUAAAUAUCAUCUUUAAUUGUUACAAUAUUUUUCUUAUUUAAUCUAAAAUUUUAAAUAUUUUCUUUAACAAUAUUUUUUAUUAAAUAUUUAGAGUCUACUUGGUUUUAUUUUUUUUCUUGAUUUUAUGAUAAUAUUUUUCUUAUUUAGUAUAAAAAAUAAAUAUUAUCUUUAAUAAUUAGAUCUAUCGAAUAUCACUUAAAAAAUAAAUUAUAACUUUAAUAAUUAUUUUUUGAAAAACAAAAAGCCAACAAUCACUAACAUAUUUUAUUAAAAUCACUUUAGUUUAUUUAGAAAAUAUUGAAAAUUGAUUAUUUUUUUUACAUUAAAAUAAAAAAAUUAAAAAAUGUUUUUAUAUUUUAUUUCAAAGUCGAUAUUUUAAAACAAAAAUGAAAAAGAUGUGAUAUUAACCUUUUUUAUUAUAAAGUAAGUUUUUUAAUUAAAAGUGAUGAGAAUUUGUUCGUAAUAACAAAAUGCAUGUUUAAUUUUCUUUUCAAACUUGGAAUAUAUUUCUAUUGAAUUUGAUGGUUUUUUUAUCUUAAAACACUUGCCAGCAAUCUUGUUUUUUCAAUGCUGCCAUUUAGCAAGUGGAGUACUGUAGCUUUUCCACAUACAUUGAAUAAUAACAGUUUGAAUAAAUAACAAGAAAAUAGAAAUUAGUUUUAUUAAUUUGAACGGUACAUCAUUCAUCGAAUAAAUUACAAAAAAGUAUUAUUGAGAUACUAUUUUUUUCAGUUUCUAUUGCACCAAAAUAAACACAUAUAUUUGUCACAUAUAUUAAUUAAUAUCAAAAAUCUCUGUAUUCCUUGAAAUCAAUAUGUAUACAAGUAAUAAUCAUUAUUAUUUUAUUUUAUUUUAAAAAAUAAAUAUCAUAUUAAAUAAUAUUUUUUAUUUUUCUUAUUUAAUUUAAAAAAUUAAAUAUUAUCUUUAAUAAUAUUUUUUAUUAAAUAUUUAAAGUCUGAUUGGUUUUAUUCUUUAUUUCUUGAUUUUAUGAUAAUAUAUUUAUACAGGCAAUGUGCAACGGUCGUCACCCGUAACGUAUUGCUUCAUUUCGUGGUGAGAUGCCAAAUUGGAUGAGCUACGGUGGAGAAGGAUGCUCCUUGUCAUUCCAUAUACCUCCAGUCUUCCAAGGCUUAGUUGUUUGGUUUGUCUAUCCACUUGAGAAGGAUUGUCAUAACCUAUUUUUAGGUUAUUUUUCAAUAUAUAUAUUUUUUUUUCUUCAAAAAAAUUACAAAAAAAAUCUAAAAAUAUUAUAAAAAAUAUAACAGUAAAAAGAGGAUGUCAGAACGCUCAGAAAAUAGUUAAAAUUUGGUUGAGGAGGUUUAAAAAUAUAAAAAUUAAAAUUUGGUAGUAUUUUAUUAACUGAUGAUAGCCCUGUUGACAAAGAAAAUUCAAUUUGAGAAAAAAAAAGUCUAAAAUCAGAUGUUGAGGGACUCAAUUAAAUUAUAUUGAAAGUUUAAUUGAAUUUAUGGAGGGUUUGAUUGUAAGAAAAAUUGAUUUUGGAGUUAAUUUGGGCUUUAAUUGGAAGAAAUUAAAGUUCUGGGGUCAGAUUAUAUUUUUUUUUAGAGUUGAUUUGGUCAAAUUGGGGGCUUAAUUGCAUAAAUAUUAAAGUUUGAUGGCCAAUCGGGGACUUAAUUGAAGAAAUCUGAGACCAAGGACCAAAAUGCAAAACGCGCGCAAAUUGAAGGAUUGAAUUGAAAUCUAGCGCUUUGGCUCCAAUUUUCAUUUAAAUGAAACAGUGCGUUUUAAGCAAAACGACGUCGUUUCAUGCACUUUCCAAAAAAAAAAAAGAGGACGAAACGGUGCCGUUUUGAGGCGGCACUGUUUCUUCUUCUUCUUCCCCUGGACAUGCAGCAGGGGAAGAGGCGUUUUUGUUUUCUUCUCUUUGUUUCUUCCUCUCCCUCCCCAUGUGCUCUGUUACAACCAAAACCGGUCGCCACUUGCCUCAUGAUGAGAUGCCAAAGCAGUCGUGCCCCGCAAGCGACGCCUCCAUUGGCCACCUCUGUCGGCGCCGUGACAGAGCAGGAGACGUGCGACGCAUGCAUGGGCAACGAUGGGACGGGGCAGGGUCGACCCCGCUCCCCUUGCCCCUAUAAAUAGUGACCCGAAAGGAGAAAAAAAGGAACACGGGAGAAAACAGGGAGGGAAACCGAGAGAGAGAAAUCGAUAGUGUUGAGAGAGAAAUGACUGAAACAGUAGAAACCAAAAAAACCGGGGAUAUCGAUAGGGAGACCGAGAGAGACAGACGGGGAGAAGGAAGAAAAAGGACAAAAGAGGUAAACCGAUGGGGAAGAAGACACUGACUGGUGUCUCUACACAGCGGAGAAGAAGCGCCGCUGCUGGCAUUGGGCUUCACAGUCACCGCCACCGCAACACCACCGAGAACGUUCACCAGCAUCACCGUCAGCUCAGCCAUCCGAGAUCACCACCUCAGGUAAAUUCUCUUCCCCUCACGCCGAUAAUUAUUCAUCUUCUUGCUUGUAGAACGUGCACUGUGCACGUUCUGCAUGCAAGAAGAAAUAAUUAGUCGGUUACCGUGCAUGCGCACAGUAACCGGCUAAUUAAUUAACUAGUUACUGUGCUCAUGCAUAGUAACUAGUCAUUGGUUUCUUCUUCUGCGAGUUGGAACAUCAGCCCAGCCCACGCGACUGGGCUGAGUCCAACCCCCUUUUUUUUAUGCGGGCUGGAACAUCAGCCCAGCCCACGCGGCUGGGCUGAGUCCAGCCCUGUUAACUGCGGCCUGGAACAUCAACCCAGCCCAUGCAGCUGGGCUGAGUCCAGCCUUGUUGCUGGGCCAAUACAGGCCCAACCCAGUUCAUUUCAUUUUUUCUUUUUUCCUUUUUGUUUUGUGUUUUAUAUAUAUAUAUUGUGAUUUUCCCACGGAUUUUUCUACGUCAUUUUAACUAAUAUUGGUCUAUAUUUUUUACUCGGUUUUCAAAAAAAAAAACUUUUGCUUUCAUGCAUACGGCCAAGUCUCUCAAAGCUAAAAAAUCAUAUUGUAUUUUUAUACAACAAAGAAAACUAAAAAAAUAUAUAUUAUUUUAGCAUGCAUUUUAGCUUUAAUAACCAGUUUAUUAAAGUCAUGAUAACUUGGCCAAUAUUUCAAAAAAUCAAAAAAAAUAUUUUGUUUUGUUUUAAUGUCUGGGAUUACGAAUUUAUACGUAAAACGUAUUCCCGAUAUUAAAAAGGUAGUUCUUUUAUAGACAUUAGGCCGGUUAGAUUUUUACCCCAUAAGAUAAGAACCUCCUUACUGAGGAGGGCUUUUCUUGAACCCUAGACAGACCAACAUGAUAAGACCUUAGAUUUUUUAUUAGACAAUAAAACAAUGCAGCUUACCUUAGGUAGGGUGUAUUUGAGGUGCUAAUACCUUCCCUUUGCGCAACCAGUCUCCGUACCCGAUCUCUAAGACCAGUUAGGGUUCCUAGUGAUCAGAAUACUAGGUGGCGACUCUCAUUCCAUUUUUUCACCGCUAAGAGACAAAGAAUUCCUUGUUUUACCAUAUUUUCCAGAAUAGAUAGACAUACCACAUUUGAUGAUGAGGGUGGUGGAUGAUCGCCGCACACGUGCGAUAGAAUGGUGACUCCACUGGGGACCCAUCAAAUCAAUCAACAGAAAAAAAAAUCACCAAGCCGAUGCCGCGCGGGUGACAUGCGACAAGGAUGAUCAUUAUUACUCACGGUCUGGCACUAUUAUUAUUAUUAUUAUUAUUAUUAUUAUUAUAAGAAAUAAAAGCAAUGGUAUUCAAUUGAUUAAAGAUAAACGAAUAGUAGGACCUUUCCUACCAAAAACUGCGGGAUGGAUAAGAUACAUAAGUAGAAGUGAAAUGGAAAAUGGAAGAUUACUGUGGAGAUGACGAAUUGGAACUAUACGUAUAUUCAGAGCCAAGAGGAGAUACAGUGCGCAUCAUUAAAAAAUGUGGGGUUCAUGUGAUCGCAGGGAAGUUAGAUUCAUUUGAAGAGUCGGAAGUGGAAAGAGAUAUAAUGAUGCCUUCACCACCGUUGUAUCAUCUGCUUCCUCAUCUCCAUUGUGGUUCAAUUACAGCGUCUACACCUAAGCAAUGGAGUGACUAUUUAUUUGCGAAGCUGAGUAAAUAUAACCUCAGUUGAACGCUUCAUGGUAAGAACAAAUAUUUCAUUUAGUUAUUUCUAUUUUAUUCUAUUUAAUUUAAGAGAUUAAAUAUUACCUUUAAUUAUUUCAUUAUUAUUAUUUAAUCUAAGAAAUUAAAUAUCAUCUUUAAUAAAAAAAAUUAUUAAAUAUUUAAGGCUUUUUGCUAAGAAUACAUGUUUCCUUCAGUUAUUUCUAUUUUAUUCUAUUUAAUUUAAGAUAUUAAAUAUAAUCUUUAAUUAUUUUAUUUUUCUUAUUUAAUUAAUCUAAAAAAUUAAAUAUGUUCUUUAAUAAUAUUUUUUAAAAAAUAUUUAGAGUCUGAUUGGUUUUAUUUUUUAUUUCUUGAUUUUAUAAUAAUAUUUUUCUUAUUUAAUUUAAAAAAUAAAUAUUAUCUUUAAUAAUUAGAUCUAUCAAAUAUCACGUAAUUAAUUAUAUCAUUAUUUUAUUGGUAGCAACUUAGGAGUCUUUUAAGCCAAAAGAAUAAUAGCUAGGAAGAGCUAAAAUUAGCAAGGAAUAUUUAGAGUCUGUUUGAUUUUAUUGUUUUUCUUUGAUUUCUUAAUAAAAAAAAUCAAAUUCUUGAAAACAAAAAUUGAAAACUUAUACGUUUUGAUUUUGAUUUUAUUUUUGAAAAUGAAAAGCCACCAAUCAAUAGCAUAAUCUAUUAAAAUCACUUUGUUUUAUUUAGAAAAUAUUGAAAACUGAUUUUUUUUACAUUAAAAUAAAAAAUUGAACAAUAUUUUUAUAUUUUAUUUCAAAUUUGAUAUUUUAAAACAAAAAUGAAAACGAUGUGAUAUUAACCUUUUUUUUAUUAUAAAGUAAGUUUCUUAAUUAAAAGUGAAGGUGAUUUGUUUGUAAUAACAAAAUGCAUAUACAAUCAUGCAAAAGUUGUAUUUAAUCAACUCUGCUAUUGAAUUUAAUGGUUUUUUAGGGAACAAAUGAUAUGGAUGAAUGUGAGAGCACAAGAUCAUUUUACAAAGAGAUUGAUUGGUACUUAAAAAUAUAUUUUUAUUAAGGUUUUAUAUCAUCAUAUUGCAUUUAAAGUAUAAUUAAAUUCUCUAAUUUAAGCAUAUUUUAUAAUAACAAGUCUGAUAACAUAAAAUAUAUUUAAUUUAUGGUAAAUGCUCAUUUUGAAUGCAGGCAUAUCUCACAAUUUAAAGGAUUGAUUGAUGUGUUUAACUAUUAAAAGUGAAAAGACAAAAAGAAGGCUAAGCUUAAAGAAGAAAUGUUGGUUCAAUUCAAACUGGAAUAUCAUUAUGUUAUUGAAUCAUAACUAUAGCUAUAGAACAUGGAUUUAGGUUUGGUUUAUAUGGAUGGAAAGCUAAGACAUAGGCCUAAAACUUUCAUGAAGAGUUCAAGAUUCAAAACGGCCCUUUUCAAGUUCAAAUUAUAGCAACAAAAGAGAAGUCGAAAUAUGACUUGUAACCUAGACACUGUUCAGUGUUCAGCCCAUAUCUCGAGUUCUAGAAGUUCAAAUAAUCUCAUUCUUGUUUUGUUGGAAAACUGAGACAAAUGCCCAGAAGUUUCAUGAAGACUAUCUGUUCAAAUUUUGAUGUUAGCAUGUUGUGUUCAGACAAGAAGAUAAUGGUUGUCACCAAGUCAAUAGGUGGCCACCCACUUAAUAAUUAGUCAUUAAAUCAAUAGUUCUGAAUUUUGGACUCUAAAAGAAGGCAUUUGCCAUACAUUUAGACAUCUUGGUGUUCAGAUCAAGAUCUUGCUCUCACUCUCUCUAUUUGUAUUUUGUAAUGUUCAAGUUUUAUUUUAUGUUAUAUUAAUCUCUUAUUUAUGCUUUUCAUUUCUUUUACUAUACUUAGUUAACUUAUAUCAUGUUUAUGUUAUUAUGUUGUUUAUUUAUGUUUUUCUUCUUCAUGAUGUUUAUCUAAGUUAAUUUUGUCAAGGUGAAAAGGGUACACUAAUGGUGUAAGAAUAAGUAUAAUACAAACUCCACAUAGACUUUAAUGUUUAAUACUAACAUGUUUUGUAUUUGUUAUCUUACUCACUCUUUAUACCUUACUUGUUAAAUGGUUAAUCUAAAUUUAUGUUGUACAACCCUUGGCAUAACAAAUACUUGACACUUUCAUAACCUACUGUAUGGUAUAAUCAACACUUGUGCUAUGAAAGGAACUUGAUUUAUUGUUAACAUAAAUUAUCAUCAUGAAUACCUGACCACAUUUACAAGUAUUGGCAUUACUCAAAUAAGAUAAUUAAUAUAAUCAUGUAUGUGGUUUCUAGUUGAGUAAUAAAAAGAGUUUAUACUAUACUUAUUUGAAAUACCUCUAACUUUAACAAUUGUUUUAUCCUUGUUUAAUCCUUACAUCAAUAUCACAUUUCAAAAGUUCUCUUCAACUCCUUUUUAAUUGUUGUUUAUAAUUUUAUAUAAUUCAUCUCCCUGUGUUUCAACCCCGGUCUUGCCGGGUUAUUUAUUACUUUGACACUCCUGCACUUGAUAUAAGACAUCAAUCUCUUGAUCGUGUUAGAGAUGCUUGAAGUUACUCUUUAUUGGUAUGGUAGUUGUUUCUAACGAGUUGAUAAGUAUUUGUUAGCUUGAAGAUUAUUUUCCAAACUUGGAAGUUAUAUUGAAUGCUUUUUGAAAUCUUUUCCAUCCGAUUUGAAAUUGGACAACCUAAUUGUUAUUAUCCAUUAUGUAAUUUAUAUUUUCAAGUUUCAACUUUUGAUGAAUAUUGUAUUGAAUGCUCUUUGAAAUCUUUUCCAUCCGAUUUGAAAUUGAAAAACCUAGUUGUUAUUAUCCAUGACGUAAUUUAUAUUUUCAAGUUACAACUUUUGAUGAAUAUUGUUUCCUUUUUUUCUCACUUCUUGGAAGUAUUCUCAAAAAGAUGAAAAUCCUCGAUCUUAGUUAUAAAUAAAUUGGUUUUCUAGGAAGAGAUUAUUAGGUGGGAUAUAUUAUUUGAGUUGGUUCUUCAUCAUUUAAUGUUAUGAUUUAAGAUAAUUGAUGAAAACUACCAAUACACAAGAAUGUUUAGAAAGCAUCUUUAAUUGGUCUAAUAAGUAAAGUCUUGUUAGUUUUGGCCAUAAGCUAUGUAUUAUUGCUUGUUUUUUACUAUUUUUUUACCUUUUUUGUUUUUUGUAUAUACAACUUUUGUUUUUCUUGCGAGUUUCUCAUUAGCUUUAUGGCACUAACAUCAAUUAAUAAUAAAUCUUGGACUAUUAUUAAAUAAAAAAAAACAUAAACAUUGUUAAAACACCAAACUUGCAUAGUUCAAACCUAGAGAAACCCUAUGCCAAUAAUCUAAUUUAAAAAAAUAAUUAAUUUAUCCUUGUAGUCUUAGAAAAUAGUAUUUAAUCCUUAUGUUUUUACAUUUAUCUUUGAUUUAACCUUUUACAUCUAUUUCAUCUUAUUAUUUUGGUUUACUAAGUAAAGUCUUAGAAACCUAUUUAUGGUCUUAAACAACUUAAAAAGGCUCAAAAACCUAAAAUGAACUCAAACCUGAAAAUCUUCAUGCUGAGAGGUCUGUUUCAUCAAGCAAGGAAAAAGAAAAAAAAAACAUAGGUGAAACUUCCCUCAUCAAAUAAAAUCCAAUGACACUAGGAUUGACUAUUUUGGUGGCUAGAAUAGAAGUCAACGAUAACAUUUUCUUUCCACGUCGGAAUCUAGCAAGUUUCUCUCUUCUCUCACAAAAAAAAACUAAAAAAUAAGGAAAAUAAAGUUUGGUAUUAAAAUCAAAUUUCCGACAACUAAAGAGACCAAUCACCUAUUAACUAAAAACAAUUGGGGACCGAACUAAGUUUUUCAUAUGAAAUAUGAAGUUGACAUCUAUUUUCUCCAUGUUUUUUACUUUGGUUAUCUAUCUUUCAAUCCAACCCUUUCUUCAUAAAAAUAGAAGUAACUUUGUAUUAAUUUGGACUAAAAAAGGUACAAUAGUGCAAAAACAAAUUGAGGAUCAAAUUGAGAAUUAAAAAAUAAUUGAUUAUUUUAAUCUAUAAUGAUAUGUGAGAGAGUGCACAUUAUAAAGUGAAGAGAAAAAACUCCACAUGACUUUGAAACACCUUUGAUGGUUGAUUGAAAUUGGUAAGUGAGUUUCCUCACAUGUUGUUUUUUCGGUUUUGAGUCCAAAUAUGGAGAUUUUAUGAUUUAAGGUAUUUUUCAUGAAUGCAACCCUUCAUGUAUUCAAUAACUUAUUUUCUAGUAUAAACUACGUUUGAAAUAAAAUUGAUAAAAGACAUGUGGUACACAAUUAAUGAUGGCAUGUAUAUAAAAAUAAUUAAAUUGAAAAUUUUCAAUUAUCUUUAAAGAUAUCAUGGUUUUAGUCGGUUAAAUUAUAAAAAAAAUAUUUAAUUUUUUGAUAUAAAUAAUAAUAACAAAUUAGAUAAUAGUAACAAGAAAAUAGGAAUUAGUUUGAAUAAAUGGUACCAGUUCCUAUUAUGAUAUAUCUAGAGAAGAAGUUUGAAGAAUAAAAUGAAGUGAAAUAUUCUUAAUAAAAAAAGAAAAACACAAAAAGAAAUAAAAAAAUAUUCUUAAUAAAUAUAAAAGAUGGGUGAAAUUAGAGAACAAGAAAGAGAUAUAGAAUCUCUUUGUAAGAUUUCUAAAAACUUAAUUACAAUUAUAUUAUAAUUUCUUCCCUAAAAUUAUUUAAAAUAUAGUAUUAGAAUUACAUAAUGCUAGGUUUUAAUAUAUAAUUAAAGAGUUUCUCCUUAACCAAAUAUAAAAAUAUUUUAUAAUUCUUUUGAAUGAAUUAUUAACGGAGGGACUGUUUUGGGUCCCUAUUUAGCUGAUUUUAUUUGAAUAUAUUAUUUGACUAGUCCAUUUAUAGGUUUACUCUACUAUUCUUGCCUUACUGGAACCGGAAAAUUCACUCGAAAUUUCUAGUAGUUUACACAGAAAUUUCCUGUGCUAAACUUCAAAGAAUUUCUUUUCUUUUCAUUUUGUAUUUUCUCAUUUUCUUGGCAUGCGCGCAGCUGCAUCAAGGAAAAAACGUUUCAGAUGCGUGUAAUAAAUCCAAUCGAUGAAUGAGAAAGGGACGCAAAAUAAAGAUAAAAGUGGAAUAUUCUCAUUAAUUGGUCAUCAUUUAAACGUUGGACACAGCCAUCUAUAUGUUGUUUAAAGAAUUUAAAUGGUUAGUCAGAAAGGAUUGCUUUUUAAUUAAAAAUAUAUUAAAAUAAUAUUUUUAAUGCCAAGUAUUUGUUCAACCUCAUUAAUGCUAACGAGUGGACCCAGUUGUUGUGGAAACUUUGCUAGGGAUCUGGAGUGUCAUAAUCCAAAAUUAUUCCUUAAAAUUUAUAUUUUUUCAAAAUAAAAAUCAAAAAAAUAAAAUAAAGGCUGGCAACGUGGAGAAAGCAGGCCGGAAAAUCAAGCUGUAAUUUUUGGAGGAAAUUCAAGGCGUAAUUGUACCCCACUAUGCCCCAAAAUAGAGAGAAAAUAUAAAUUCAAGGUCAAAUUAAAUGAUUAUUUGACAAAUUUGCAUAAACAUUAAGUCCGAUGACAUAAUUAAAUUUUUAAUAGGCCAAUUUGAUUUAAUCACGGGCCAAAUUAAAUUUUAAUUAUGUUUAAGAAUUAAUUUGCGUCCAAUUGAAGGAUUUAAUUAAGUGCAAGGACUUAAUUAUACUUUAAAUGGGUCAAAUUAAUUUUAUUUUGGGCUUAAUUGGUGAAAACUUAAGUUUGGGAGCUUAAUUGAGAAGAUUGGAAUUUUAAGAGACCAAAUUUAAUUCUUACCAAGUUAAUUGAUUGAAAUUAGGGGCCCAAUUGCAAGAACAUUGAAGUUUUGGGGUCAAUUGGGGGUUAAAUUGAAGAAAUUGACAGCUAAGGACCACUCUGCAAAAGGCGAAAACAUUUGGGGACUUAAUUGACAACCACCGGGGCAAAAUUGAAGAAAUUGAAAGUAUAAUGGUCAAUUAGAGGUUAAUUUGACAAAAUUCGAGACCAAGGACCAUAUUGCAAUAGGCGCGUAACUUUGGGGUUUCAAUUGAAGUUUAUCAGGGGCUUAAUUGCAUUAAAUCCAAAGUUAAGGGUUAAUUAGGGGUUCAAUUGAAACCAAUUGAAAGAUGGAGGACUAAGAUGAAAAUAUGUUAAAAUCCCUAAUUCAACUCAAAAUGGCGCCGUUUUAUAUUAAAAAAGAGAGAGAGAGAGGGGACCAGACGACGCGUUGUCGGGUCACUGUUCAUUGUCUUCUUCUUUUACCCGAAAGAAACUGCUUGGGAGCCUUAUUUGCAGGUGCAUUUAAUGCUUGAUUUCUCCAUAAAAUUGAACAAAACUUGCACGAAAAGGAUCCCCUGCAAUUCCUCUACAAACCCAUGUGAACUUUUCAGGAUUAAUGACAGCACAGCUACGCCGGAGAUGGCGUGAAGAGGUCAACUCAGGCAGCCUUUUCCUGCAGAUUUGACAACUCAGGGAGGCUACUUUGAGCCAACAGUUGGGAUCCUUCCCAACAGAAUCAAGAGCUAAAAUUUUACCCCAGUGCAAAAGAGAUUACCCUCUUCGACCGCCUAUAAAUAGAGGCUGAUUUGAUGGCCUGAGGGAGGAAAAAAAAUCGGGUCCAAAAUUUGAAAAAAACAAGCUCCCACUGCCCCCGUUUCUGCAAUUUCUCUCUCUCUCUCCGUCGCUUCAACCACCACCAACCUCAUCACCAGCUUCUCCACCACCAGCUCCAUCACAGUAAGCCACCAACCGACCACCGAGAGCCACCGUGAACCUUUCUCUCUCCUCUGCAAACCGGUUUCUUCUUUCUCCCACAGCGACUCCACCGGCCAAAACUCUCCACCAACGCCGCCAUCAGCCUCUUUUCUUCCACGACCAGACCACCGCCAACUUCACGCCAGGCCAGAGACAGCAGCUUCUUCUCCUCCGCAAGGUCGCCUCCCACUUCACUCCGCCGUCUGCGCAAAGUUGCAUGCAGAACAUGAACUUACUGUUCACGUUCUACAAUUAAUUCAUCCCUCACUUGGGCCGGGCCAUAAAUGUUUGGCUGGGUCUGGCCCGGCCUCAAAAGAAAAGGAGAAAGAAAAUAUGUUGGGCCGAUAUCGGCCCAACCUUUUUGGACCGAGAUCGGCCCAACUGUUUCUGGGUUUCUGCUUGGUCCAGUUACUUGGGCCAUCCCGGCCCACCUGUUUUAAUAAUAUUUAAUUAAUAUAUUAUAUUAUAUUAUAUAUUUCCUUUUAAAAAAAACAAAAAAAUCCAAAAAAAAUUUCAAAAAUCAUUUUUAAAAAAUUACGAUUUUCUCAAAUAUUUUUCUACCACUUUUGUAUAAUAUCGGGUUGUAUAUUUACACUGUAAAAUACAAACCUGGUAUUAAAAUACCCGGUUUUCUCCUAAAUAUUUCAAAAACAAAAUUCAAAACAUUUUCAAAGAGAAAAAAAAUAUUUUGUUGCAUACGGCCAAAUCUUAAAAUUUUUCCAAGCAUAUUUUUCAAUAAAAAAACAAAAAUUGCAUCUUUCUCCAGUUUUGAAAAUAAAAAAAAUGGAUAUCAUAACCAGUUUGUGAAUAUCCAUUAGAAUUUGGCCAACAUGUCAAAACCUUUUUCCAAUCUUUUUAGGGUUCAGAUGCAGACUUUAGUAUUUGUGGAGUGUAAAAUUACACGAUAAAGUACACCCUCAGGUAUUAAAGAUACAAGGUGUAAAUAAAUGCGAUGCUAAAAUUCAGACUUUAGAAUGGUUAGGAUUUAACCUGAUAAAGUAAAGACUUUCUCAUGAAGAGAGAUCUGCCUUAAACCUUAAAAAAGACCAACGAAUAGAAACCCGAUUUAGAAAAAAACAAUCAAACAACAAUGUAGCUUACCUUAGGUAGGGUGCACUGGGGGUGAUGCGUCUUCCCCUUGCACAACCAGUCUCUUACCCAGACUCUCGCAGACCAUAGGUUUCUAGUGAUCAUAAUACUAGGUGGCGACUCCUAAACAUUAAUCAUAAUUUUAUAAUUAAAUCCAAAAAACCUUCCCAACACACAACACCUCACACAGGAGGCACGACAAGAAGCCUUUGCCGUCGCCAGACGACGUCGCGCCCCUUGCGACAUGGAGGAAGAAAAAUGAUUGCAUUGCUAAUAAUUUGCAAGAGAGAAUUCUUUUUCUGAAUAGAAAAAACUAUUAUUUUUAAAAUAAAAACAACUAAAUAGAAAAAUUAUUAUUUUUUAAAUAGAAAAACUAGAAAAGCCUUGUAAUAUUGAAUAAAAAAUAAAAUAGAAAAAUUAUUCUUUUAAAGUAGAAAAAAUUAUGACAAUUUAAUAAUACUGAAUAGAAAUAAAUCAAAUUUUUAAACUAAAUAAAAAUAAUAGAGAAAAAUAUUUAUUAUCCUAAACUUUUUUAUAUUAAAAUCUUAAUUUAUAACAUGAACUGAGUCUACAUGCUAAAAUUAGAAGAACAAAAAAAAAAUGUAACAAAAAAAUUCCAUACAACACAAUUAAUGAUGGGAUCAUAUAUUUUGAGACUAAAAUGAGGUUUUCGAAUUACCUUUAAACAUAACAUAACAUGAUUUUAAUAGAUGUACUGUACAUCAUUUGAAUUUAUUAGAAAAAACAUAUAAUGUAAAGUAUGAACCACUUACCAUUAACUAGAUUUUUCAAUUGGAUUUUUUAUUUAAAUGAAAAGGAAAAUUUAUUUUAUUAUGAAAAAUAUUUUUUAUAUAUAUCUAGUAAUAAUAAAUUAAAGGAUAAUAACAAGAAAAUAACAAUUAGAUCGAAUAAAUGGUACCAAUUUCUAUUCUGAUAUAUCUAGCCAAAGAAUAGAAUGAAUCAAAAUAUUCUUAAUAAAAAAAAUAGAAAACACAGAAAGAAAUAAAAAAAUGUUCUUAAUUAAUAUAAAACUAUUAAUUUACAAAAGAAAUUUUCUGGUACUUUAUACUGUAUAUAAUUUGAAAAAUUGUGACUGACCGACUUACUUGCAAAGUAUUUGCAAGAAAGUUAAAGAAUUAGAGUUUUUUAAUAUUCAAAAUUAUAAUUUUAAAUUCUACGAAAAAAAUCAAUUAUUUUUAAAACUGUUUUCAAAAAUAAAACAUCAACUAUUUAUAUAAUAGCUAAAUAAAACAAUUAAAAUAAAUAAAAAAAUAACUAGUAAAAUCAAGUGAAUAAUCCAAAAAUAACAAGAAAAUAGAGAUAUUUCCUAAAUAUGAUUUCAGUUUGUUGUAUUGAUCAAUUUGCUAACAUAAAUAGCAUAAACGAACUUUAUUCUAAUAGUAUGUUUGAUAUUUAAAAAAAAAAAAAACUUAUAGAUAUUAUAUGGGUUGGCAACCCAUUUUUUAUUAAAUUUUAAAUUUUAUUUGUUUAAAAAUAUUUGUUUAUGUUUUUUAAUUAUUUUAAUAUGAUAAUAUCAAAAAUAAAUAAAUAAAAUUUUUCUAAGUUUUACUACUUCUGACUUGCUUUGACUCGAAAUUAGUGGUGCUUUCUCCUGCGAAUGAAUAGAAAGCAUAUCAUAAAGGUGUGUUUGACAUUGUGUUUUGGAAGUAUUUUUUAAAAAAAUAAAUUUUUUUAUUUUUUUUCUUCAAAUUAUUUUUUUUGUUGAUGUUUUCAUAUUAUUUUGAUAUGCUGAUGUCACAAAUAAUUUUUAAAAAAUAAAAAAAUAUAUUAUUUUGAUGUGUUUUGAAAUGAAAAAACUUUAAAAAGCAACCGCUACCACACUCUCAAACUCCUUUGUUUAUUGAGUCUUACUGUGAAACCUCGUUUUGGGAUGAAUUGAUUGUAAGAAUAAGAAAUUAUGUGCAAAUUAUACAAAAUUUAUUAUUCAUCAUCAAGAUUUAUUAUUUAUUAUCACUAUUGAAUAAUGAUUUAUUUUAUAAUAUAAAUUAUGUUUAAAAUAAAAUUGAUAAAAUUAAAAUACAUGAAACGAGGUCGUAUAUUUUGAAACUAAAUUAAAAUUAUUUUCUUUUUCAAUGAUAUCAUUUGUUAGUUUGCAAGUCCACAUGUCACGAGUCUCCACUGCAUGAAAUUUGCAAAAUCAUAUGGCCCAUUGAUAGAAGGUGUGUUGAAGCAAAAUCUGUUUUAUUGAUUAUCAAUAUUGAAUAAUAGCUUAUUUUCUAGUAGAAACUAUGUUUGAAAUAAAAUUGAUAAAAGACAUGAUAUACAAUUAAUAAUAGGAUCGUAUAUAAAAAUAGGAAAUUUCCUGGUAAUAAAGUCCCAACUUUCGUAGGCGAGCACUAAAGUCCCAAACUUCAAGAAUUUCUCUUCUUUUCCUUUUGUAUCUUCUCAUUUUCUUGGCAUGCGCGCAGCUGCCUCGAGGAAAAAACGUUUCAGAUUCGGAAAAUAAAGAUAAAUGUGGAAAAAAAAAAUCCCAAAUAAAGAUAUCUUUUCGUCCCUUGGUGUCGUGUGAAUACCAUGUGGAUAUCAUUUCAGAAAAUCAAUUCAACCGUUCUCCAAAGAACACUCAUACUCCAAUAUCAGCAACUACCACGAAAGUUACCACUCUAAAUUCCAGCUCAAUAAUUAAGGUUCCAAGAUAAGCCUAAAAAAUAUUUAUUAGGCUUAUCUUAAAGCCUAAUAAAUAUCUAAAAAAAAACAAAAAAACAAAAUUCCACCCUAGGCUGUGAUUAACAGAUUAUCUGAUGGAAACAUGAUGAGCUUUUUUUUAGUGAAUUAAGUUCAAUUAAAAAAAAAUUAAGGUUAAAUUGAUGAUUAAUAAUGAAUUUUGUAUACUUUGCACAGGAUUUUCUUAUUCUCGUCAAUUAAUCUUAAAGCGAGGUUCCAAGAUAAGCCUAAAAAAUAUUUAUUAUUGAUCAACAAUAUUGAAUAAUGGCUUAUUUUCUAGUAUAAAUUAUGUUUGAAAUAAAAUUGAUCAUAAGAGUAGAUGAUAUACAAUUAAUGAUGAAAUCGUAUAUUUUGAGACUAAAUUAAGAUUUUUCAAUUAUCUUUAAAUAUUAUGGUUUUAAUAGGUGGACAAUGCAUUCUUUGAAUUUAUUACAAGUAAUGUGUAAUUUAAAUUAUAAAAAAAUAUUUAUUUUUCUGAUAUACAUGAUAAUAAUAAAUUUGAUGAUAGCAACAAGAAAAUAGAAAUUAGUUUGAAUUAGUACGUUUCUCAUUAACAUUAAUGAUGGAAUCAAAAUCUUUGUUAGCGGUCACCUGUUCGACCUCAGUAAUGUUAACGCGUGGACCCAGCUGUUGUAGAAACUUUGCAAAGGAUCUCGAGGAAGAAAAAUGAUUGCAGUGUAAGACUUAAUUACCGAUUCUAUGAUGGGGAAUAAAUAUGUUUAUAACAGAAUUGUAAGUUAUAAUAUGUAAAAUUUAAUUAACGAUUCUAUUAUACGAAAUAAAUAUGUUUAUAACGUAAUCGUAAGCCUUAAUAAUAAGAAAUCAAUAUCUCCAUCUAUUAAUGUUCCUCAUGUAUUUAUUAUUCUUUUUUAUAUAUAUUUGAUACUUUCAAACUCUACUCACUUUAUAUAGAUUGUGUAAAACUUAAGAGAACUCAGUAAGUGAGUAUAGAGAUCAAAUAACAUUAUUUAUAGCCAAAGCUUCCCUCAAGCUUUAAUGGCUAUAUGUCCCACAUAUUUAUUAUAUCAUGGGUAGUUACAAGUGAAUCACUUUAAGAGCUUAUAAAUGUAAAUGUUACAACUUUAAAAUGAACGAUUUUAAGAGUUUAUAAAUAUAAAUAUUAUAAUUUUUAGAGUGGAUCACUUUUAGUGUGAAGGAGAGUUAGAGAAUCGAUUAUAAUGACUCUGUAAAAAACAGUCAACAUGCAUUGCUAAUAAUUUGCAACGGAGAAUUCUUUAUUGAGAUUUAUUGUUAAACCUCGCUUUGGAAUGAAUUGAUCACGAGAAUAAAAAAUAAUCACUACAUACACCCUUUAACUAUUUUACUUGAAAGUUUCGAUUAUUUCCUAAGCUCCUUUGUUCAUUUUCUUUUUUAUUACCCCUUCAUGCACGACACUUUAUGCCACUUCAUGAUACCCUUGUUUUCAACGUUUUACACUACUUUAAAAGCGUGUUUGGUAGUGUGGUUGCGGGUGCUUUUCAAAUAACUUUUCGUGUCAAAAUACAUGCCAAUGAUAUUUUUUUUAUUUUUUAAAAAUUAUUUUUGACAUCAGCACAUCAAAACGAUCCAAAACAUAUAAACCUUAUUAAAUUUUAAUUUAAAAAAUAUUCAAUUUUUUUGGGAACGCAGCCGCAUCCGCGUUCACAAACGAGUCCUCAAGUCAAUUGUUAGAUACUAAAAACAGCAAGAACUGUACUCAAUCAGCAACCACUGUGAAAUUACCACUCAAAAUCCCAUGAAUAUAUAUAAAAAAGAAUUUUGUCUAGAAAAAUUCUAUCAAAUUCUCUACUUUAUUACUCUUCAAUGUUUUACACUGCUUUAGUUCUAAAAAAACUCCUAGAUGUUAUAAAGCAAGAUAUAUACAACUAUAUAUAUAUAUAUAUAUAUAUAUAUAUAUAUGAAAGUGUAAUAAAUAUUAUAUUUUAAAGUAUUUUUUAAAUAUAUUAAAAUAAUAUUUUUUUAAAAAUAAUUUUGAUAUUAGUAUAUUAGAAUAAUAAAAAAAUAAUUUAAAACAAUAAAAAAUAUUGAAAUUUUUAAAAAAUAUGAUUUGACUGAACUCCAAAACACACGCAUGCUCCCUCAGCAGCCACCACGAAAUUACCACUCUAAAUUCCAGCUCAAUAAUUUAUUCUUUAGCAAUUAUUGCUUGCUCUUUGACAAGUACUGCUUUGCUAAUAAUUUGCAAGAAACUUUCUCAAUUUCCUUCUAUUUUCUUUUUAUCAUGGAAACUUUAAGUCACAUACCACUAAAUUACCGAUAAUUAAAUUUCAAUGUGUAAUUGUGUAGGUUUCAAUUAAAAAUGUUUUAAUUUGAGAAAAUUUGUUAAAAAAAUAGUAUAAAUUAUAUUUUAGAGUUUAUUUUAAUAGUUUAAAUUUUUAGAUGAAUAGUUUUCUAACAAAUAAAGACAUAGUUUUACGAUAAAAUGCAUUUUUUAAAAUGAAAUUAUAUUAAAUUAAGCAUGGUCGAGAUUAUUCAAAUUAUUAAUUAAUUAUAAUUAACUUUAUGUCUUUAGAGGAAACAAAAGGAAAGGACAAAAUGAUUAAUUAAAUUUUUAGAUGAAUUAAUAAAUCUUUACAAAUAAAAGAUAUAGUUUUUCAUUUUUUGAAAUGAAAUUAUAUUAAAUUAAGCAUGCUCGACAUUGUUCAAAUUAUUAAUUAAUUAUAAUUAACUUUAUGUCUUCAGAGUAAACAAAAGGGAAGGACAAAAUUAUCUUCCCCACAACGAUAAACCUAGCCCCCUUUCCAAACCAAUCCUCUAGUAAAUAGAAUGAUGGUCCCAUAAAUUGCUUUAUUCUUUCCAGCCCGCCAAGUAGUUUGGUCUCCCUCACAGGACCUCCUUAGCAUGGGAAUCAUAUGAAUUUCCUUGCUUUUCUUCCUCUACGCGUUACCUUUCACCUUUUAUAAUUAUUAUUAUUGCAUUGCUAAUAAUUUGCAAGAAAGAUUAUGAACAUUUUUUUUAGUGAAAUAAGCUCAUUUCAAAUUAACAAAAUAUAGUUUGUUGAGGCUUGUCUUGAAACCUCACUUUGGAUUAAUUGACAGGAAUAAUAAAAUUUUAUUCAAAUUAUAUAAAAUAUUAGGUGUGGAUGUGCCCUUGCCCAACAAGCUACCAUGACCUUAUCUAGAGUUGGGUGUUAACGAGACAAGCCCUUGUCCAACUCAGAGUUCGGCAUAGAUAUAUCAUGACCCAACAUAAAGUUUGGAUGCGGAAAAAAUAUAAUUUCAUUUUGAAUUAUGAUUUUUGUUGGAUAGUCUUUAAAUAAAUUUUUUUUUUAGAAAAUCAUGACCCAUAUCUGGUUAUCGGAAAAACAAUUAUGGUUGAUUUAGCCUCAUCUUCUCUGCUUGUAAAAUUGGGGCAGAUUAUGGACUUAACCGAGCAAUUACCGCUCAAAAUUCCUAGCAAUUUACAAAGGAAUUUUCCUUGCUUUUUCUCAGUAUAUUAUUAGAAAAACCGUCAUUGACUGAUUUAAUUGUAAAGUCUUUGCAAGAAAGUAAAAAAAUUAGUUUUUUAAAAUAAAAAAUAUAGAGAGAGAAAUAAAAAAUAAAAAAUAAAAAAAGGAGCGAAAGGAAACAACCGCCAUCUUUCUUGUUCCUUUUCCCUUCUUUACACGGCGUCCUCGAUGAAAAUAGCAAACACCCCAUUUGAAUAUAUAAUUAAAGAAAGAAAGAAAGAGAGGAAAAUUCCUUCCUCAAUACUUACCGCUACACGCUUCAGAAAUUCCUUGCUUUUUUUUUUUUUUUUUUCAUCUCUACUUACGUGUUACCUUUUACCUUUUAUAAUUAUGAUUAUUGCAUUGCUAAUAAUUUCCUUGCAUUUCUUUAAUAUAUAAUUAAAGAAAGAAAGAUGUUGAACACUUUUUUAGUGAAUUCAAAAUAACAAAAUAAGGUUGUUGAGGCUUUUCUUGGAACCUAGCUCAGGGAUUAAAUUAUAAAAAAAUAUAUUUAUUUUUCUGAUUAUAUAGCAAUAACAAAUUAAAUAAUAGCAACAAGUAAAUAGGAAUUAGUUUGAAUAAAUGGUACCAGUUCCUAUUAUAAUAUAUCUAGAGAAGAAGUUCGAAGAAUAGAAUGAAGUCAAAUAUCCUUACAUAAUGCUAGGUUUUAAUAUAUAAUUAAAAAGUUUUCCAUGAACCAAAUAAUAAAAAUAUUGUACAACUUUUUUGAAUGAAUUAUUAACAUAGAGGCUUAUUUGAUUUGAAUAUAUUAUUUGAUUAGUCCAUUUAUAGGUUGUCUCUAUUAUUCCUGCCUUGCAUUGCCAGGAAAUUUCACUAGAAAUUUCUAGUAAUUUAAACAGGAAAUUUGCUGGUGAUAAACCUGGAAUAUGAUUUUCAACUUUCGUAGGCGAGCACUGAAGUCCCAAACUUCAAGAAUUUCUUUUCUUUUCCUUUUGUAUCUUCUCAUUUUCUUUCUAGGAAUGUUAUGAGAAGCAGCAGAGUCAAGAGGCCAUUUUUGAUCCUGUGGACCGGAAGUAGUUGCAUAGUUAGUCGUAACCUCUGAUCAAUGGAGUCGUGGGUAAGACUUGGCUAAAUGGCCUAUCUGAUCAGGAAAUUGGCAUUUCGGUUGAUAAUGCAUUUGAGUGGUACCGAUUGGUUGAAGACUUGCAGUUGUCUUUGAAUGGACCGACCUUGAGGGAUUUUAUUGUGGCCUGGAGACCGAGAAGAUCCAUUAGUCUUAUUUGAACCCUUCGGGUGAGACCCACCAUAUGAACUAUUUAAGUUCUGUUUGUGAAGAUAAGAAUAAUUGGCAGAGGCCACAAGCUGCUGAGUUGAAGAUUCCAAACGCCGCAGGUAACUGUCAUGCCCCUCAAGAAUAUCUUGAAGCUCUUCAAAUUAUCCCAAUAGUUCUUAUAUUAAAAUCUCAUUUAUCAUAUGUUACAUCUAUCAAAAAAAAAAAAAUAAUUUGUGACGUGAACUAAAGCUAUAUGUGAAAACUAGAAAUAACAAAUGUAUGAAAAAAAAAUCAGCUGUGAUUAACAGAUUAACGAUGGAAAUUAAGAUGAUGAAUAUUUUUUUGUAAAUUAAUUUCAAUUUAAAAUAACUACAAAGAAGUUAAUUAGGAUUCCUUCCUUGAAAUUAUUAAAAAUAUAGUAUUAGAAUUAUAGAAUGCUAGGUUUUAAUAUAUAAUUUUUAAUAUUAAUUGUUAAAGAGUCUCUCUCGAACCAAAUAAUAAAGAUAUUAUAUAACUCUUUUGUAUGAAUUGUAAAUCUAGGGAUAGUUUUGGGUUUUCCAAUCACAACUUUGGACUAAAAUUAAUAACAAAAUAAAGACCAAAGAUAACGGUAUGUAAAUCUAGGGACCAAAAAUAAUACAACUGCAUUUACUGUAGAUUUCACUUAGAAUUUCUAGUAAAUUACAAAGGAAAUUUCUUGUGCUUUUUAACGUACAUGAAUUGAAAAACUACCAUUGACUGACUUGCAUUGACUGACUUGCUAAGCAUUUGCUGCUCGAAAUUUUCUCCCUAAAAAUUUUCAAGCAAUUUACGGAGCAAAUUUCCUUAUGCUCUCUCUUGUAUAUUAUUAGAAAAAUUGUUUUUAAAAAUCAAUUUUUUUUUAUUUUCCUGAGAUUCUAUUUUUUAGUCGAGUCAAUUUCAAGUUGGGUUCAAUAAUUAUGAUUAAAUUUACUGAAAAAAAAAUAAUUUUAUGUCACUUCAUGAUACCCAUGUUUUCAACGCUUUACACUGCUUUAAUAAAUUGUUACAGUAAUAGCACAGAGAGGAGCGGUUCCAGAAAAAACAAUAAUGGAGAUGAAGCAAAAUCUGUGUUUGAUUUUUUCUUUUUUGUGUUUUCGGUACAUUGGUCAACAAUAGCUUGGAAGAGUUUGGAAUCAGUAACACGUGGACCCAGUUGUUGUGGAAACUUUGCAGAGGAUCUUCACUCUGCAGGAAGAAAAAUGAUUUUAAUAGAUGUACUGUACAUCAUUUGAAUUUAUUAAAAGUAACGUGUAAUGUAAAGUAUGAUUCACUUACCAUUAACUAGUUGGACAAAAAAACUAAACUUUCUCAAUUUCCUUCUAUUUUCUUUUUAUCAUGGAAACUUUAAGUCACAUCUGCGCCUACCACGAAAUUACCGAUAAGUAAAUUUCAAUGCGUAAUUGUGUAGGUUUCAAUUAAAAAUGCUUUAAUUUGAAAAAUUAUGUUAACAAUAAUAUAAAUUAAUUUUUCUUCAAAAUAAAAAGUAAUUGGGUAUUAAUUUAGGCUAUAAAGAUAAAAUAAUAAUAAUAAAAAAGAGUUCGAGGGUAUUCAUUUUAUUAUUUGUUAUGUAACUAUAUAAUCUAAUUUGUUGAUGUGGAAAAUAGCACAAAGUUUUUGACAUGGAUAUUGGUGAGAAGCAAAAGCAGUAUCCACUAUGAGAGCUUUUGUAAACGCGUGGACCCAGUUGUUGUGGAAACUUUGCAAAGGAUCUGCAGGAAGAAAAAUGAAAUUUGCAAAGUAUUUGUGUGUAUUAUAUAAUUGUGUUAAUUUAAGGAUUAUUUUUUAGUUGUAUUAAUUUAGAAAAUAUUUUGUCUCACCGGAAAACUCUAAUUACGUUCGUAUAUUUGUUUUUGGUAACAGAUGCAAUAUGCUUUUUAAUUCAAGAUAUAUUAAAAUAAUAAUUUUUAAAAAAAAAUUAUUUUUUUUAUUUUAGUAUAUUAAAAAUAAAAAAUUUAAAAAUAGUAAUUUAAUAUUUUCUUAAAAAUAUAUUUAAAAAACACUUUUAAUUUUGUUUUUCAACUGUACUAUUCCUUGAAAAAACUCAAACUCUAAAUAAUAUCUUCUACUACAUACUUUCUAAGACUAAAAAUUAAUCUAAAUGUUUUUGAAAAGUAGUUCAACCAAAGUACCAAAUAUGUUUAUAUACUCCAUCUUCAACCACUGUAAAAUUACCACUCUAAAUUACAACUCGGUAUCGAUUACCUUUUAUCUUUGACAAUUAUUGCAUUGCUAAUAAUUUGCAAGAAAAAAUACAUUCUCAAUUUCCUUCUAUUUUUUUUUUAACAUGAAAAACUUUAAGUCACUCAAUCUGCAACCACCAUGAAAUUACCGGUCCGAAUUCCAGCUCAAUAUUUACCGGUACGACACGCUUGAGGAAUUUCCUUGCUUUUCUUCCUCUACGCGUUACCUUUCACCUUUUAUAAUUAUUAUUAUUGCAUUGCUAAUAAUUUGCAAGAAAGAUUAUGAACAUUUUUUUAGUGAAAUAAGCUCAUUUCAAAUUAACAAAAUAUAGUUUGUUGAGGCUCGUCUUGGAACCUCGCUUUGGAUUAAUUGACAGGAAUAGUAAAAUUUUAUUCAAAUUAUAUAAAAUAUUGGGUGCUGAUGUGCCUUUAUCCAACUUAGAAUUGCGACAAGCUACCAUGACCUUAUCUAGAGUUGGGUGUUAAUGAGACGAGUCCUUGCCCAACUCAGAGUUUGGCAUGGAUAUAUCAUGACCCAACAUAAAGUUUGGAUGCAGAAAAAAUAUGACUUUAUUUUGAAUUAUGAUUUUUGUUGGAUGGUCUCUAAAUAAAUUUUUUUUAUAGAAAAUCAUGACCCAUAUCUGGGUAUCGGAAAAACAAUUAUGGUUGAUUUAGCCUCAUCUUCUCUGCUUGUAAAAUUGGGGCAGAUUAUGGACUUAACCGAGCAAUUACCGCUCGAAAUUCCUAGCAAUUUACAAAGGAAUUUUCCUUGUUUUUUCUCAGUUCAUUAUUAGAAAAACUGUCAUUGACUGAUUUAAUUGUAAAGUCUUUGCAAGAAAGCUAAAAAAAUUAGAGUUUUUUAAAAUAAGAAAUAUAGAGAGAAAAAUAAAAAAUAAAAAUAAAAAAAGGAGCAAAAGGAAACAACCCCCAUCUUUCUUGUUCCUUUUCCCUUCUUUACAUGGCGUCCUCGAUGAAAAUAGCAAACACCCCAUUUGAAUAUAUAAUUAAAGAAAGAAAGAAAGAGAGGAAAAUUCCUUCCUCAAUACUUACCAGUACUACACGCUUGAGAAAUUCCUUUCUUGUUACCUUUUACCUUUUAUAAUUAUGAUUAUUGCAUUGCUAAUAAUUUCCUUGCAUUUCUUUAAUAUAUAAUUAAAGAAAGAAAGAUGUUGAACACUUUUUUAGUGAAUUCAAAAUAACAAAAUAAGGUUGUUGAGGCUUUUCUUGGAACCUCGCUCAGGGAUUAAUUAACAAGAAUAAAAAAAUCCCCUGCAAAUUAAACAAAAUUUAUUAUUAAUCAUUGAUAUUUAUUAUUGAUCAUCAAUAUUGAAUAAUGGCUUAUUUUCUAGCAUAAAUAAAAUUGUUAAAAAACAUGAUUACACAAUUAAUGAUGAGAUCGGUUAUAAAAAUGACUAAAUUGAGGUUUUUCAAUUACCUUUAAACGUAUCAUGGUUUUAAUAGGUGGACAGUACAUCCUAUUAUGUAAAUUAUAAAAAAUUAUAUUUAUUUUUCUGAUAUAUAUAGCAAUAACAAAUUAAAUAAUAGCAACAAGUAAAUAGGAAUUAGUUUGAAUAAAUGAUACCAGUUCCUAUUAUUAUAUAUCUGGAGAAGAAGUUCGAACAAUAGAAUGAAGUCAAAUAUCUUUACAUAAUGCAAGGUUUUAAUAUAUAAUUAAAAAGUUUUCCAUGAACCAAAUAAUAAAAAUAUUGUAUAACUUUUUUGAAUGAAUUAUUAACGUAGAGGCUUAUUUGAUUUGAAUAUAUUAUUUGAUUAGUCUAUUUAUAGGUUGACUCUACUAUUCCUGCCUUGCAUUGCCAGGAAAUUUCACUAGAAAUUUCUAGUAAACGAAAUUUGCUGGUGAUAAACCUGGAAUAUGAUUUUCAACUUUCGUAGGCGAGCACUAAAGUCCCAAACUUCAAGAAUUUCUUUUCUUUUCCUUUUGUAUCUUCUCAUUUUCUUGGCAUGCGCGCAGCUGCCUCGAGGAAAAAACGUUUCAGAUGCGGAAAAUAAAGAUGAAAGUGGAAAAUAGAAGCGGGGAAAAAAAUCCCAAAUAUCGACAAACAUCACAAGAGAAGCUUGAUAUCUCUUCGUCCCUUGGUAUCGUGUGAAUGUGGAUAUUAUUUCAGAAUAUCAAUUCAACCGUACUCCAAAGAACACUCAUACUCCAAUAUCAGCAACCACCACGAAAGUUACCACUCUAAAUUCCAGCUCAAUAAUUUAUUCUUUGACAAUUUUACUUCUAAAAAAAAUGAAUUUUUUUUUAUAAUUAUACGCCAUCAGCAACUACCAUUACGACUCCAAAUUCCAGCUCAAUAUCGAUCAACACGUGGCUAAAGAAUUUGUUUCCUUUUUUUUCCUGCACGUGUUACCUUUUUAUCUUUUAUAAUUAUAAGUAUUGCGUUGCUAAUAAUUUGCAAGAAAUAAUAUUCUUUCUCUAAAAAGGGCUUGAGAAAACCCUAAGCAUAGUAUAUAGUCUCUUAUAGGAAUCUCUUUAUUAAAUCAUCAAAAUAUCAAAGUCUGUUUCCAAAGACUAUGACUACAGUUUAUAUAUAGAAACAACCAAAUAUAAAAAUUAUUUUUUAAAAAUAGAAAAAACAGAAGAGCUUGAUAAUAUUUAAUUAAAAAAUAAAAUAGAAAAAUUAUUCCUUUUUAAGUAGGAAAAAAAAAUAUAAAGAUUUAAUAAUACUGAAUAAGAAAAAUUAAAAUAUUCUUUCUCUGAAAAGGGCUUAAGAAAACCCUAAGCAUUGUAGAUAAUCUCUUAUAUGAAUCUCAUCAAAAUAUCAUAGUAUAUUUCCAAAUACUAUUACGUACUACAUUUAUAUAUAUAUAUAUAUAUAUAUAUAUAGAGAGAGAGAGAAAGAGAGAGAGAGAUAGAGAGAGAAACAACUAAGUAGGUAAAGCUUAUGUUUCUUUGUUCUUGUUCCUUUAUAUAUAUACAUUCUCAAUUUCAUAAAAAAAAUUAAUUAGUCCUUGAAAUCUUAAAAAAUAGUAUUUAAUCCUUAUGUUAUUAUAUUCAUCUCUAAUUUAAUUUUUUUCAUCCAUUCAUCUUUUUAUUUAUUUAAUAGCUUAAGUUUUUAGUUAAAAGAUAAAUAGUUUUACUAUUAAAAGCAUUUUUUCGAAAUAAAAAUAAUAUUAAAUUAGGCAUCCUCAACAUUGUUCAAAUUAUUAAUUAAUUAUAAUUAACUUGAGGUUUAGAAGAAACAAAAGGGAAGGACAAAAUUAUCUUCCCCACAACCAUAGACCUAACCCCUUUCCAGACCAGUCCCCUGGUAAAUGGAAUAAUGGUCCCAUAAACAGCUUUUUUUCUUUCCAGCCCGCCAAGCAGACUAAGGCCUGUUUGUUUCUGUGUUUUAAAAGUGUUUUUGAUAAAAUUUAAAAUUUUUUUGUUUUUUUUAUUAACUUCAAAUUAAUAUGUUUUUAGUGUUUUUAAAUCAUUUUGAUGUGCUGAUGUCAAAAAUAAUUUUUAAAAAAUAAAAAAACAUCAUUAGCAUGUAUUUUGACACGAAAAACUAUUUGAAAAGCAACCGCAACCACACUACCAAACACACUCUAAGCAGUUCGGUCUUCCUCGCUGGACCACCUUAGCAUGAGAAUCACACUAGUUGGAAGUAUCUUUAAACCUCAUAAAAAUGAAUAACUGAUAAUAAUAUAAUUGGGAUUUAAAAAAAAUUCAUAAAAAAAUUUCUUAAAAAAAUCCAAAAAAUUAAACCGGACAAAAAUAAACAACCAAUAAUAAUAUAGUUAAAAUGAUAAAAAAGUGUUUAAAAAGCAAUUUGAAACCAAUUAAUCUUAAAAAAAAAAAACCAAAAAGAAACAUGCGAUGAAAACCAAUUCAUGAAAAAGUAAUUGGAUAUUAAUUUAGACUAAAAGGAUGAAAUAAUAAAAACAAAAGGAGAGUUUGAGGGUAUUCAUUGUUCAAAGGAACGCAAAAAUGCAUUCCAAGUAUGAAGUGUUUUAUUGUUAUAAAGUUUUUCAAACUUACAAUAUGGAGAGAGAAAUAAAUAAAAAGAAAAAAUAGCAAAAGGAAACAGCCCCCAUCUUUCUUGUUCCCUUUCCCACGGCCUACUCAAUGAAAAAGCAAACACCCCAUUGGAUUUCCCACGGCCGCCCACGAAAUCCCUUUAUCCUCUGCUGUUAAUUUUUUAAUGACGCAUAUCAGGUGUUUGAUAAAAUUCCUUAGCUGGGAAAGGAAAAAAAACCAUGUUAAGAAUGCUUUAGUCCUUUUCGAGUGGAAAGUGGUGUGAAAGUGAGAAGUACUGUGAGAGCUUUAUACCACUUUCUAUCUUAGACGUAAUGGCUUUGGCAAAAAGAAACCAAUAAAAGUUAGUGUUCGCACUGCUUUAGUCCAAGAGUCUUUCAUGGUUGCAUUGAUUGACUGGAAAAAAUCUCAAAGUUUUUAGAAAGAAACAGCCUUCAUUGCUUUUCGAAACCAAUCUCAGUAAUGUUAACGCGUGGACCCAGUUAUUGUGGAAACUUUGCAAAGGACCUCGAGGAAGAAAAAUGAUUGCAUUGCUAAUAAUUUGCAAGAGAGAAUUCUUUCACUGAAUAGAAAAAAGUAUUAUUUUUAAAAUAACAACAAGUAAAUUUAAAAAUUAGUAUUUUUUAAAUAAAAAACUAAAAAUUCCUGAUAAUAUUGAAUAAAAAAUAAAAUAUAAAAAUUAUUCUUUUUAAGUAUAAAAAAAUAUAAAAGUUUAAUAAUACGGAAUAGAAAUAAAUAAAAAUUCUAAACUAAAUAAAAAUAUUUUCUAUCCCAAAAAUUCUUAUAUCAAAAUCUCAUUUAUCAUAUUUUAUAUCUAUAAAAAACUAAUUUGUCAUGUGGAAUAAGUCUAUAUGCUAAAAUCAGAAAAAAAAUGUUACAAAAACAAAUUCCACAAAAGGCUGUGAUUAAAAAGAUGAUAGAUAUUUUUUAGUAAAUUAAUUUCAAUUCAAAAUAACAAAAUAAGGUUUAUUGAGGCUUACCGUUAAACCUUGCUUUGGGAUGAAUUGAUCACGAGAAUAAGAAAUCAUGUGCAAAUUAUACAAGAUUUAUUAUUAAUCAUCAAGAUUUAUUAUUUAUUAUCAAUAUUGAAUAAUGAUUUAUUUUAUAAUAUAAAUUAUGUUUAAAAUAAAAUUGAUAAAAUUAAAAUACAUGAAACGAGGUUGUAUAUUUUGAAACUAAAUUAAAAUCAUUUUCUUUUUCUAUUAUAUCCUUCAAAAUUAUUUAUUUUAUAAAAAACAAAACUUGUUAGUUUGCAAGUACACAUGUCAUGAGUCUCCACUGCAUCACUUUUGCAAAAUCAUAUGGCCCACUGUAUAUUUUGAAACUUGUUGAAGCAAAAUCUGUUUUAUUGAUCAUCAUCAAUAUUGAAGAAUGAUUUAUUUUCUAGUAUAAACUAUGUUUGAAAUAAAAUUGAUAAAAGACAUGACAUAUACAAUUAAUGAUGGGAUGGUAUCUAAAAAUGAUUAAAUUGGCAUUUUUCAAUUACCUUUAAACAUGCAUAUCAUGAUUUUAAUUGGUGGACAAUACUGUUAAAUAAUAUAUUUAUUUUGUUUUAUUUAUUAAGAUUAAAAUAAUAUUUUUAGCUUAAUCUAUAUAUAAACUCUUUAUAUUUAGAUUAAGCAAAAAUAAUAAUAUAUAUCAGAAUUCUAGUCUCAUUCCUUUUCGUAUUUAUUUUUAUGUUAAUUAAAUUGUUUUAACAAUACAUCAUGUAAAUUAUAUAAAAAUAUAUUUAUUUUUCUGAUAUAUAAAUACCUCUCUGUCCCAUUGCUGCCAUUUCAUAGCUAACUCUUUGUUAUAUUUAACUUCCUCUUCUUUGCUUCUUGCUCAUAACGAUAACUUGAAAGCCUUACGUUCAGAUAGAUAAUCAUUGACUAGCUCAUCCUAUAUCAUUCUAUUCAAUUUAUAUAUGCAGAAAGAAAAACGCAAGCAAUCCAAAGAUGAAGAAAACGCUUCAUCCUCGCGAAAGAGAAGAAAAGCUGACCUCAGUAAGCCUAUAUAAAGAAUACAAUUAACCUCAUUUCAACAUCAUAGUUAACCUCAUUUCAAUAUCAUAGCUUUGGAAUUUCAUAGCUAACUCUUUGUUAUAUUGCUCCAUUGGUAAUUGAUUGUGCCUUGAUUUCUGCAGCUGCCAUGACAGAGCCAGAGUCUUCUCGAUCUAUACCAGAAGGGGCCUAUGAUGUCUUCUUGAGUUUUAGAGGAGAAGAUACUCGCAAGACGUUUACUGAUCAUCUAUAUGCUGCCUUAGAUCAAGCAGGAAUCCACACUUUUCGAGAUGAUGAUGAACUUCCUAGAGGAGAAGAAAUCUCCGAGCAUCUUCUCAAGGCAAUUCGAGAAUCAAAGAUAUCCAUAGUUGUCUUCUCAAAAGGAUAUGCUUCUUCUAGAUGGUGUCUCAAUGAACUUGUAGAGAUUCUUAAGUGCAAAAGGAAGAAAACCGGUCAGAUUGUUCUUCCUAUAUUCUAUGACAUUGAUCCUUCAGAUGUGAGAAAACAGACUGGCAGUUUUGCAGAGGCAUUUGAUAAGCAUGAAGAGCGUUUUGAAGAGAAGUUGGUGAAGGAGUGGAGAAAAGCUCUUGAGGAUGCCGGAAACCUAUCUGGAUGGAGUCUCAAUGAUAUGGCAAAUGGGUAUGCCUUUUUUCCAAAUUUAUGGAGUCAAUAUACUUUACAUUUUUUAAUGUGAAACAAUAAAAUACUUAAUUGACUCGCUAUCAAUGACUUGCUUUUGUCUAUGAGCAGGCAUGAAGCAAAAUUUAUCAAAGAGAUUAUCAAGGAUGUGUUGAAUAAAUUAGAUUCCAAGUACUUCUAUGUUCCUGAGCACCUAGUAGGUAUGGAUCGGCUUUCUCGCAAUAUUUUUGACUUUGUAAGUACUGCAACAGAUGAUGUACGCAUNNNNNNNNNNNNNNNNNNNNNNNNNNNNNNNNNNNNNNNNNNNNNNNNNNNNNNNNNNNNNNNNNNNNNNNNNNNNNNNNNNNNNNNNNNNNNNNNNNNNNNNNNNNNNNNNNNNNNNNNNNNNNNNNNNNNNNNNNNNNNNNNNNNNNNNNNNNNNNNNNNNNNNNNNNNNNNNNNNNNNNNNNNNNNNNNNNNNNNNGAUGAUAGAGGAAAAGUUCUGAUCAAAGAACGACUUCGUCGCAAAAGAGUUCUUGUUGUUGCUGAUGAUGUGGCUUAUCUGGACCAGCUAAAUGCUUUGAUGGGAGAGCGAAGUUGGUUUGGUCCCGGAAGUAGAGUAAUUAUUACAACAAGAGAUUCAAAUCUUCUUCGUGAAGCAGAUCAAACAUAUCGGAUCAAAGAGCGACUUUGUCGCAAAAGAAUCUUGUUGUUGCUGAUGAUGUGGCUCAUCAGGAGCAGCUAAAUGCAUUGAUGGGAGAUCGAAGAUGGUUUGGUCCCGGAAGUAGAGUAAUUAUUACAACAAGAGACUCAGAUCUUCUUCGUGACGCAGAUAAAACAUGUCAGAUCGAAGAAUUGAAACUAGAUGAGUCCCUUCAGCUUUUCAGCAGGCAUGCCUUUAAGGACACCAAGCCAGCAGAAGAUUACAUUGAGCUUUCGAAGAAAGCCGUUGGUUACUGUGGAGGACUUCCUUUAGCUCUCAAGGUUAUAGGAGCUCUUCUGUACGGGAAAGAAAAAGAUAGAUGGGAAAGUGAAAUUGACGACUUGAGCAGAAUUCCAAACCAAGAUAUUCAAAGAAAGCUUCUAAUAAGUUAUGACGCACUUGAUGGUGAACUACAAAGAGCAUUCCUUGAUAUUGCAUGCUUCUUUGUUGGUAUAGAGAAAGAAUACGUCGCACAAGUGCUAGGAGCCCGUUGCCGUCGCAAUCCAGAAGUUGUUUUGGAAACUCUCCGUGAAAGGUCUCUGAUUCAAUUUCAUGAGUGUAUAAUUGAAGAUGAAAGGCAGUUAUCUGGAAGGACGGUAGCCAUGCAUGAUCUAUUACGAGACAUGGGAAGGGAGGUCGUUUGUAAAGAGUCUCCCUUGCAUCCUGAAGCAAGGACCAGAAUUUGGAAUAAAGACGAUGCAUGGAAUGUACUUGAGCAGCACAAGGUAAGUAAGAGCUCAAUGCAUACACGAAAGCAUAGUCAUGCGUAUUUUCUAGUCAAGCUUAUUACAAAUAAUUGAAUGAAAGUUGUAUUGAUUUUUUUUUUAGGGUACGGAUAAAGUUGAGGGUCUUGCACUGGAUGUCAGAGCAUCAGAAACUAAAUCACUUAGCGCAGGAUCAUUUGCAGAAAUGAAAUGUUUAAAUUUACUCAAAAUCAACGGAGCACAUCUCACCGGAUCCUUCAAAUUGCUUUCUAAAGAGUUGAUGUGGAUUUGUUGGCAUGAAUUUCCUUUGAAAUAUUUUCCAUCUUAUUUUACUUUGGACAAUCUAGCUGUUCUUGAUAUGCCGUACAGUAACCUCAAAGAACUAUGGAAGGGAAAAAAGGUGCGAAACAUGCUACAAUCCCUAAAAUUUCUCCAGUAUGUAAUUUAUAUUUACAUGUUAUGACUUUCUAUGAUUAAUUUUCAUUAUUUUUCUCUCUAUUAUAACAGAUUCUCGACAAGCUUAAAAUUCUUAAUCUCAGUCAUUCUCAGCACCUUAUUAAAACACCAGACUUGCACAGUUCAAGUCUAGAGAAACUAAUUCUGGAAGGUUGCUCGAGUUUAGUUGAGGUGCAUCAAUCAAUUGAAAAUUUGACGAGCCUUGUUUUCUUAAAUCUGAAGGGAUGUUGGAGUCUGAAGACUCUCCCUGAAAGCAUUGACAAUGUAAAAUCUCUUGAAACUCUGAAUAUUUCUGGGUGUUCACAAGUUGAGAAAUUGCCGGAACGCAUGGGUGAUAUGGAAUUCUUAACCGAGCUGCUAGCUGAUGGGAUUGAAAAUGAGCAAUUUCUCUCUUCAAUUGGACAAUUAAAGCAUUGCAGAAGGUUAUCAUUGUGUGGAGACAGUUCGACGCCACCAAGUUCUUCUUUGAUUUCAACAGGUGUUUUGAAUUGGAAACGUUGGCUGCCAGCAUCUUUCAUUGAAUGGAUAUCAGUGAAACAUCUUGAGCUUUCUAAUAGUGGUUUGUCUGAUCGCGCAACUAACUGUGUUGAUUUCAGUGGUUUGUCCGCUCUAGAAAAAUUGACUCUAGAUGGAAACAAAUUCUCUAGCCUGCCUUCUGGGAUCGGCUUCCUUUCCGAGCUAAGGGAGUUGUCUGUUAAGGGAUGCAAAUAUCUUGUAUCAAUCCCAGAUCUUCCCUCAAGUUUAAAGAGUGUGUUUGCAUGUGAUUGCAAAUCAUUGAAAAGAGUAAGAAUACCAAGCGAGCCAAAAAAAAGACUAUUUAUAAAGCUAGAUGAAAGUCAUUCGUUAGAAGAGUUUCAGGGCAUUGAAGAUCUAAGUAAUUGUUUCUGGUAUAUUCGUGUUGAUGACCGCAGGCAUUCAACAAGUAAAUUACUGGAGCGUUGUUGAGGUACUAUUUCUUUCCGUCUCUCUUUCGCACAAAAAGAAACACACACAAUUGACACAUACAUUGAUUAAUGUCUAAAAUCUCAGCAUUCCUUGAAAUCAAUAUGUAUAUAGGCAAUAAUCAUUAUUAUUAUUAUUAUAUUUAAAAAAACAAAUAUCAUCUUUAAUAAUAUUUUUUUAUUAAAUAUUUAAAGUCUGAUUGGUUUUAUUUUUUAUUUCUUGAUUUUAUGAUAAUAUAUUUAUACAGGCAAUGUGCAACGGUCGUCACGGGUAUUUUAUUCGCCACACUCCUGGUCAGAUGCCAAAUUGGAUGAGCUACAGGGGAGAAGGACGCUCAUUGUCAUUCCAUAUACCUCCAGUCUUCCAAGGCUUAGUUGUUUGGGUUGAUAAGGAUGAUAAGGAUGCUCACAUUAUUAUUAUUAUAAGAAAUAAUAGAAAUGGUAAUCUCUUGUUUCAAUGUACGAAAUGGUAUUAUCAUCCAAAAACUGGAAGUAUAAGAUACAUAAGAAGAAGUGAAAUGGCAAUGGAAGAUUACUGUGCAGAUGACGAAUUGGAACUAUACAUUUAUUCAAAGCCAUCACCGUUGGCAAUGGCAAUGGCAAUGAAGGAUGCUGUGAUGCCUUCAUUUGAACCGUCUACACCUAAGCAAUGUGGGGUCCAUGUGAUCGUAGGAAAGUCAGAUUCAUUUGAAGAGUUGGCAGUGGGAAGAGAUGCAGUGAUGCUUCCUCAUCCUCGUUGUGGUUCGAUUACAGCGUCUACACCUAAGCAAUGGAUUGACUUUUUAUUUGCGAAGCUGCAAAACCAUAACCUCAAUUUAAGGCUUUUUGGUAAGAAUACAUAUUUCCUUUAGUUAUUUCUAUUUUAAUAUUCUAUUUAAUUUAAGAGAUUAAAUAUCAUCUUUAAUUAUUACAUUUUUCUUAUUUAAUCUAAAAAAAUAAAUAUUAUCUUUAACAAUAUUUUUUAUUAAAUAUUUAGAGUCUGCUUGGUUUUAAUUAUUUCUUUUCUUGAUUUUAUGAUAAUAUUUUUCUUAUUUAAUAUAAAAAAUAAAUAUUAUCUUUAAUAAUUAGAUCUAUCGAAUAUCACUUAAAAAAUAAAUUAUAGCUUUAAUAAUUAUUUUUUGAAAAACAAAAGCCAACAAUCACUAACAUAUUUUAUUAAAAUCACUUUAGUUUAUUUAGAAAAUAUUGAAAAUUGAUUUUUGUUUUUUUACUUCAAAAUAAAAAAAAUUGAAUAAUGUUUUUAUAUUUUAUUUCGAACUCGAUAUUUUAAAACAAAAAUGAAAAAGAUGUGAUAUUAACCUUUUUUAUUAUAAAGUAAGUUUCUUAAUUAAAAGUGAUGGGAAUUUGUUUGUAAAAACAAUCUUGCACAUCUAACUUUCUUUUCAAAUUUGAAAAUUUUAUUAACUUUGAUGGUUUUAUAUGUAUGAAGGAUCUGGAUGGACGUAAUAGCACAAGAUCAUUUGACAUAGAGAUGCUUGAAGUUACUCCAAAUUAGUACGGUACUUUUAUCUAAUGUAUUGAUAUGUAUUUGUUGGCUUGAAGAUCAUUUUCCAAGCUUGGAAUUUUUAUUGAAUGCUCUUUGAAAUCUUUUCCAUUUGCUUUUAUAGUGGACAACCUAGUUGUUAAUUAUUAUCCAUGAUCUAAUUUAUAUUUUCAAGUUAAAAAUUUUGAUGAAUAUUAUUUCAUUUUUUUCCUCACUUCAAAAGAUGAAAAUCCUUGAUGUUAGUUAGUAAUAAAUUGGAGAGAAUAAUAAUAAUUUGUGUGUAUAAGCUGAUUGAAAUGAAGAUUAAAAUAAAGAAGUAAAAAAAAAGAGACUCGUAAAGAUUUUAUGUUAGUACUCAACAUGUCCUUUCUUGUUUUUUUUUUAAUUGGAUUACCUUUGUCUUUGGUUAAACUGCACUUCUUAAAAUAUUUUUGGAUUGUUCUGAUAUCAAAAAUAAUUUUUUUUAAAUAUUAUUUUAAUACAUUUUCAAUUAAAAAAUAUUUUGAAAAACAAUAUCUAACACACUCUCAAACAAGUUAAAACGUUAGUAAUAAAAUAACUUUUACAUAUUUUUCAAGUUUAGUAGAAUAGUAGUGGAAUAAUAUUUUUAAUAUUUAAAAAUUAAAAUUUUUUGUGUAACUGUUUUGUUAAAUUAUAAAGUUAAGGACUCUUUUGUAGUUUACCUUACACUAAAGUUAAUAAAUAAUAACACAAGAAAGGACCAAAGUUAACUACAAUACGAGGAAGUUUCAUACUAAAGUUAAAAUACCUCACACUUUUCAAUGAAACAUUACCUCUCCUGUACAUGAAUAUAAAUAAUUUCGUUGACCGACUCUUAUUUCAUUAAUUAUUGAUUAUUUGGAAGAAGAAAGCGUAUCCCUUCUCACUUUUAGAGCGUAUUUAGGGUAUUUAAGAGCGCAUUAUAAAUCCAGGGACAAUUUUGGGUUUUCUAAUCAGAACUUUGGACUAAAAUUAAUAGCAAAUUAAAUAAGGACCAAAUAUAACAGUGUGUAAAUCUAGAAACCAAAGAUAAUACAGCUGCAUUGACCGGAGAUUUCACUCGAAUUUUGACUAAAAAUUAAAAUUUUAUCAAAUUCUCUACUUUAUUAGUGUUCAUUUUCUUCUUUUUUUUUACCUAUCUUUUCCAACUGUUUAGAAAAUUUUUAUGGAUAAAAUUAGAGGAUAAGAAAGAGAUAUAGAAUCACUUUGUAAGAUUUCUAAAAACUUAAUUAUAUUAUAAUUUCUUCCUUAAAAUUAUUCAAAAUAUAGUAUUAGAAUUACAUAAUGCUAGGUUUUAAUAUAUAAUUAAAGAGUCUCUUCUAAAAGAAAUAAUGAAAAUAUUGUAUAACUCUUUUAGAAUGAAUUGUAAAUCCAGGGACAGUCUUCCUGGUGGUUUUUACUGUAUAUGAAUUGAAGAACUAUCAUUUGCUGAUUUACUUGUAAAGUAUUUGUAAGAAAGCUAAAAAUUAGAGUUUUAAAAUUUCUAAAAUAAAUAAUCUUCUCUAAAAUAAGUUUUUUUUAAUUAUACUUAUAAAAUUAAUUAAAUCUCAGGAUAAUAAGAUAUGUCCGGAUAUUUGGCGACUGANNNNNNNNNNNNNNNNNNNNNNNNNNNNNNNNNNNNNNNNNNNNNNNNNNNNNNNNNNNNNNNNNNNNNNNNNNNNNNNNNNNNNNNNNNNNNNNNNNNNGUAUGUUACAAAUUAAAUAUUAGUAUAUUUUUUUCAAGGUGAUAUCUCUUAUUAAAUCAGAGAUUCUCUCUAUUUUUUACAUGCAAUAUAAUCACGGAAUAAUUAAAUAAUUUGAAAAAUAAAUAAAUUUUUAUUGUGGAAUAAGUAAAUACUAAUAUCUAUAACUAGAAGUAACUAUAAUUAUAAUAUUAAAAAAAAGCAUAAUAAAAUGAAUUUAUUUAUAAAUUAGAUAAGAUUCAAACCAAGGGAAUUAAAGUGUAAAAUAAGGAAAACACCCUUGCCAGUCUAAAAUAAUUGAAGUAAUGAGUAAAUGCAUGAAGCAAGAUAAUUAGUUGAUAUUGUGACUAUUCAAGAUAAUUAUAAUCUAUAGGUAAUUGUAUACUAUAAAUUAAUAUCAACAAAAUAAUUGUAUUUAAUUGUUUGAAGUUAAACAAAAAAACAUACAUUCUCCCUUUCCCUUCUUUACAUGGCUUACUCAAUGAAAAAGCAAGCACUAACGCACCUUCUCCACAAACUACCAUAAAUAUAUAAAUAUAUUAUGAAAACAAGAUAAAAAGAAAUCUUUUGGUACAUAUAUAAAUAUAUUAUGGCUAUGAAAAUAGGUUUGUGGAAAUUUACAUCAUUUGAUCUUGACAGUGUCAGAUUAGACAAUUGAUUGCAUGGAAAUGGUCUUCUUAGUUUGCCGUGUGGAAAAUCAUCUCAUUUACGGGACUGCUGGAGAGAGUGUCUAUUGAUAAUUUUACCUUCUUUUCAAAUCUUUGACACUGCUUGGAUUGACCGGUAAUUUCACUCGAAAAUUUCUAGUAAUUUAUAAAGGAAAUUUCUACUGACUAUUAUUGACUGACUUCUUGCAAAGUAUUUGUAAGAAAGCUAAAGAAUUAAAGUUUUUUAAUUUUUAAAAUUGUAAGAAAAAAAUCAAUUAUUUUUAAAAUUGUUUUCAAAAAUAAAACAUCAACUAUUUAUAUAAUUGCUAAAUCUAUUAAGAUAAAUCCAAAAUAACUAGUAAAAUCAGUGACUUGCAUUGACGAGUGUAAUGAUCUUGACAGCAUCAGAUUAGACAAUUGCAUGGAAAUGGUCUUCUUAGUUUGCCGUGUGGAAAAUCAUGUGAUUUACGGGACUGCUGGAGAGAGUGUCUAUUGAUAAUUUUACCUUCUUUUCAAAUCUUUGACACUGCUUGGAUUGACCGGUAAUUUCGCUCGAAAAUUUCUAGUAAUUUAUAAAGGAAAUUUCUACUGACUAUUAUUGACUGACUUCUUGCAAAGUAUUUGUAAGAAAGCUAAAGAAUUAAAGUUUUUUAAUUUUUAAAAUUGUAAGAAAAAAAUCAAUUAUUUUUAAAAUUGUUUUCAAAAAUAAAACACCAACUAUUUAUAUAAUAGCUAAAUCUAUUAAGAUAAAUCCAAAAUAACUAGUAAAAUCAGUGACUUGCAUUGACGAGUGUAAUGAUCCGGAACCACUCGCAAUAAAUAAAGCCAAAAAAGGCAGACGAGUGUGUCUAUAUAUACAUAUAGGAACCGCUGAUUCGAUUUGAAUAUGUUAUUUGAUUAGUCUAAUUCAUGACUUGCAUUGACUCAAGAUUACCACUCAAGAUUUCGUGGUGCUUUCUCGGCCUGCAAAUGAAUAGAAAGCAUGUCCUUUUAACCUCAUUUCAAUAUCGUUGCUUUACUCUCCAGCUAGCCUGAUACAUAUGAGUCUCGAGACAUACGGCCAUUGAUAGAAAGGUGUGCUGAAGCAAAAUAUUUUUUUAUCUGUAGCGACCUCAAUAAUGUUAAAGCGUGGACCACCAUGAAAUUACCGCUCCAAAUUCCUUGUUCUUUCUAUAUUAUUAGAAAAAUUAUCAUUGACUAAUUUAAUUGGAAAUUAUUUGCGAGAAAGCUAAAAAGAAUUAAAGUUUUUUAAUUUAUAAAAUUAUAAUUUUAAAUUGUAAAAAAAUUCAAUUAUUUUAAAAAAUAAAACAUCAACUAUUUAUAUAAUAGCUAAAUAAAUCUAUUAAAAUAAAUUGAAAAUAACUAGUAAAAUCAAGCAAAUAAUCCAAAAAUAACAAGAAAAUAAAUAUAUUUCCUAGAUCUAAUUUGAUUAUAUUUUUUAUCUUGAUUGACUUACUUGCUAAGUCUUUGAACUUUAAUCUAAGAAUUUGUUUUAUAUUUCUUCAUUUAUUAAUGAAAUAUUACUUCUAUUGUAUAGUUUUUGGUUUCGAGUCGAUCCACCAGAUUAAUAGGUGAACAAUACAUUUUUUGAAUUUAUUAGAAGAAACGUGUAAUGUAAAUUAUAAAAUAAUAUUUAUUUUUCUGAUAUAUAUAAUAAUAAUAAAUUAGAUGACAGUUACAAGAAAAUAAAAAUUAAUUUGAAUAGAUGGUACGAGUUUCUAUUCUGAUAUAUCCAGGGAAGAAGUUCGAAGAAUAGAAUGAAGUUAAAUAUUCUUAAUAAAAAAAGAAAAAAAAAAGAAAAAAAAUAUAUUUUUAAUAAAUAUAAAAGAUGGAUAAAAUUAGAGAACAAGAAAGAGAUAUAUAAUCUCUUUGUAAGAACUUCUAAAAAUUUAAUUACAAUUGAGAAUUUCUUCCUUAAAAAAAUCCAAAAAAAUCCUAUUAUAUAUGAAUCAAGACAACAGUUGAAUAACUAUUACAUAUUUUUCAAGUUUACUUAGAAUAAUUAUUUUAAUAUUUAAAAAUUAAAAAAAUACUGUGUAGUUGUUUUGUAUAAAUUCUAAAGUUGAGAACUCUUUUGUGCUUGGUAAAAUGAAUAACUUUUACAUAUUCUUCAAUGUUUCACACUGCUUUAAUAGAUUGGUACAGUAAAUACCUCACACUACAGUUAAUAAAUAAUAACACAAGAAAGGACCAAAGUAUAUAAAUAAUAGCAUGUUUCACACUGCUUUAAUAGAUUGUUACAGUAAAAGCACAAAGAAGAACGGUUCAAGAUGUGGUAGAAUCACCUUCGAAGUGACUAAAUCUGCUUUAAUAUAUUUGAGAUUCACGCAAUGCCACUCUCAUCGGUAUUCUAAAAGCGAAGAGAAGAGUAGAAGCAAUGUGAUAGCUAUACAGGUGAGACUUAAUAAUUUACAGGUGAUAAUUGUUUUUUAAAAUAUUUUUUUUAUUUGAAAAUGUAUUAAUUUAAUGUAAAAUAAUAAAUAAAAUUUAAUUUUUUUUAAUUGUUUUUUAAAAUAUAAAAACAAAGAGGAUAUAAUCAACCUCUUGAUGUCACUAUUAAUUAUUGAUGUCGAUUGAUGCACAUGCUAACACCAGCGAAGAAUUAAGAGGCCAAUAUGCCAUUUGAUGCGAUAUUGCAAUUCAACAGCCAAGACACCACGGCUGAUAGAUGUAGACAGCGGUAAUGAACAGGAAAAGUUAAAAAAAUUAAAAUAUUUCAUGUCUUCACAGUCGUUUAGAAAAGAAACAAGAUCAAACCUUGGUUUCAUUUUGUCAGUUGACUCCAAGUCAAUGUCUAAAUCUCCUCUAAAUUCCAAACUGGGUCACCCAGCGAAUUAAGGUAUAGAUUUUAUUGGACGACAAUCAUAUUAAUAAAUAUGGGACGACAAAUCACAAACAUAAUCAAUUCAACCGUACUCCAAAGAACACUCAUACUCCAAUAUCAGCAACCACCACGAAGGUUGAAUUACACUACUUGUUAAAUUAAUAAAGUUACUAGUUGCUAUAAAGUAAGAGAUAAGAAAAUAUUGUGUUUUAAAAUAUUUUUGUUUUAAAAUAAUAUUUUUUUAUUUUUAAAAUUUAUUUUUAAUAUUAUUACAUCAAAACUAUAUAAAAAAAAUAUUUCAGAUUAUCAAUUCAACCGUUCUCCAAAGAACACUCAUACUCCAAUACCAGCAACCACUACGAAAGUUACCACUCUAAAUUCCAGCUCAAUAAUUUAUUCUUUGACAAUUAUUGCAUUGCUAAUAAUUUGCAAGGAAACAUACUUUUAACUAUAUUCAAUUCCAGAAUAUUUUUUUUUGAUAAAUAUUUGAGAAAUAUUGAUAAUCUUUUAUCAAGUUUUAUUUUUAUCAUUUUUAUUUGGAAUUAAUUCUAUUAUGUAUUUAAAUGUGUUUAGUUACCUUGUAAACUGUAUGUUAGAGUCCCUCAAAUAUUCUGGCCACAUCAACCACUAUAUUUUAUGCCAAGCAGUAUUUUGUCCUUGAACCCUUUGGCCCUCUAAAUUACCCAAAAAGGACAAUAAUUGAGCACAAGUGGUACAGGUCAGGGUUAAACUCAGCUUGCUAGAGCCAGUUCUCAAUUUUAGGCGCCAGUUCUCAAUUUUAGGCACCAGUUCUCAAUCGAAUUUUAGCAAAAUCUGGGCUAGGAUUUGAAACAAAUGUAGCUAUUUUUUCUCCUUUUAUUAUUAAAAAAUAAUAUUCAUGGAUUAAUUUUCGUAUAAUUUAAGAAAGUAAGUCCUUUAAUCAAAUUUUAGAGUGUUGCAAUUACUACGAAAGGAACGCAAAAAGACAUAAAGUUUUUCGAAGAGAGAAAUAAAAAGGAAAAGGAAAAGGAAACAACCCCCACUCCAUCUUUCCCUUCUUUCCAUGAAAAUCAAUUUUAGGAUUUUGAUUUUCAAUCAGUAUGAGUGAGAAAGAAAGAGAGGACAAGCCGACACUUCAAAGGUCCUCUUUCUCUUUCCUUGCUUUUUUUAACGCGUGGAGCCAGCAGUUGUUGCCACCAAAUUCCUUGCUCAGUAUUUGAAAAUUUUCCUAAUUUUUUUUCCUCUACGUGCUGUUACCUUUUACCUCUUUUAUAAUUAUUAUGAUUAUUGCAUUGCUAAUAAUUUGCAAUAAAGAUGAUGAACAUUUUUUAGUCAAUUCAAAAUAACAAGAUAAGGUUUGUUCAGGCUUUUCUUGGAACCUCGCUCAGGGAUUAGUUAGCGAGAAUAAGAAAAUGCUGUCCAAAUUAUACAAAAUUUAUUAUUAAUCAUCAAUAUUUAUUCUUGAUCAUCAAUAUUGAAUAAAGGCUUAUUUUCUAGUAUAAACUUUGAUGAGAUUGUUUAUAAAAAUAACCAAAUUGAGGUUUUUCAAUUACCUUUAAAUAUAUCAUAGUUUUAAUAGGCACACAGUAUAUUUUUUAAUUUAUUAGAAAAAACAUGUAAUGUAAAUUAUAAAAAAUAUUUAUUUUUCUGAUAUACAUAGUAAUAAUAAAUUAGAUGAUAGUAACUAGAAAAUAGAAAUUAGUUUAAAUAAGUGGUACCAAUUUCUAUUCUAUAUAUCUACGGAAGAAGUUCAAAGAAUAGAAUGAAAUCAAAUAUUCUUAAUAAAAGAGGAAAAAAAACACAAAAAGAAAUAAAAUAUGUUUUUAAUAAAUAUAAAAUAUGGAUAAAAUUAUAGAACAAGAAAGAGAAGUUAGAUACCUCAAAUUUUAGUAAGGAUCCAAUUGGAUUGUUUAAAAGAGGAGAAACUGUCAUUGACUGAUUUAAUUGGAAAGUAUUUACAAGAAAGCUAAAAGAAUUAAAGUUUUUUAAUUUUAAAAUUAUAAUUUAAAAUGGCAAGAAAAAAAUCAAUUAUUUUUAAAAUUGUUUUAAAAAAUAAAACAUCAACAAUUUUAUAAUAGCUAAAUAAAUCUAUUAAAAUAAAUUGAGAAUAACUAGUAAAAUCAAGCAAAUAAUUCAAAACCAACAAGAAAAUAAAUAUAUUUUCUAAAUCGGGUUUGAGUAUGUUUUCUAUCUUGAUUGACUGGCUAACUUGAUAAGUCUUUAUUAAGUGUAAAUCAACUUUAUUCUAAAAGUCUGUUUGAUAUUUUUUUAUUUAUUAAUGAAAUAUUAUUUUUACUAUACAGUUAUUAGAUCCCAGGCUAAUCUACUGGGUCGGUUUAAAUUUAAUAACUAUGGUUCAUAGUCAUAUAGCUAGUAGUUGCACUAAAGCUAAUAAUUUAAAAAAAAUUAAAUAUCAAUAAUUUUUGUUGGCAUCAAAUAAUUAAAAAUGAGAAUUUCAGAGCAGAGGGUUUAAGAAAUAUUAAAAUAGAAGGUUUUGUGUAAUUAUUAGAUAAUUGAAAUCAUCACUAAUCUCCUUUGUUCAUUUUCCUUUUUUAUUACCCUUACCAUGCACAAAACUUCAUGUCACUUAAUGAUACACUUGCUUUCAACGUUUAAACUGUUAAAGAAUAAUAUAAAUUAUAUUAUGAGAUCUUACCUAACAGCUUAAGUUAUUGGGUUGAGAUGGUUCUUUGAUAUGGUAUCAGAGCCUUGAUGAUCAAGCGGUCACGAGUUCGAAUCUCACCAUCUCUAUUUAUUUGAUAAAAAUUAAGCACAAAGUAAUGUGGAUUUGUGCAAGUUUUAAGCCCAAAUGGCUUUCACUUGAGGGAGUGUGUUAAAGAAUAAUAUAAAUCAUAUCCUGGGACCUUACCUAACAGCUUAAGUUAUUGGGUUGGGAUGGUUCUUUGAUAUAAUAGCAACCAUCAUGAAAUUACAACACUAAAUUUAUUCUUUAGCAAUUAUAUAAUGCUCGCUCUUUCACAGUUAUUGCAUUUCUAAUAAUUUGCAAGAAAAUUAACAUUCUUUGUCUCUCAAUCUGCACCUACCAUGAAAUUAACAUCCUUUCUCGACAUUUCCUAGCAAUUUAUGGAGGAAAUUUCCUUGUGCCCUCUCUUAUACAUUAUUACAAAAACUGUCAUUGAUUGAUUGACUUGCAAAAGUAUUUGCAAGAAACCUAAUGAAUUAGAGUUUUUAAAAUUUUUAAAUUAUUAAAAACAUCCAAUUGUUUUUUUUUUAAAUCAAGAAUAAAACAUCAACUAUUUAUAUAAUUACUAAAUAAAUCUAAUAAAAUAAAUUGGAAAUAACUAGUAAAUAAUUCAAAAAUAACUAGAAAAUAAAUAUAUUUUCUAUGAUUUGAGUAUGUUUUUGAUUCACUAAUUUGCUAAGUAUUUGCUAAGCAUAACCGAAAGAAAUUAUUUGCUAAUCACUCACUAAUUCAUCCAUGAUAUGUUCAAAAAAAUGGGUUAAAAAUUGGGUAACAACACCAUAUCUAUUUUAUUGAAAACCCGGGCCUGUAAUUGACCGGAAGAAAACCGAUCAACCCACUAAGUAGAUCUGGAACCUUGAUGACCCAACAAAACCUGGUAGAAAUUCAUUUUUUUUUCAAAUGUAUUUUUUCUUCUAGCUAGAGACCUCUAUUUUUUAUAUAUUUUUCAGUUGGUUACUAACCCAUUUCAAAGUUUACUAUAUAAAUAUUAGAAGAAUGUUUUAUUUUUUUAAUGUGGGAUUUGAAACCUUUUAGUAUAUAUACUCUUUGUUUACUAAAAAAAAAAUUAUGUUUUUUUAAUAUGAAAUAAAAAACCUUUUUGAUUUAAAUACUUCAACUCAAAAAAAUAAGAUAGUAUCUUUUUAAUGUGGAAUAAAAAAAACCAUUUGAAAUAAUCUUUUAAACUUCAUUAUUUAUAACAUGUAUAACUUAUAUCUUUCUUAAUUUUUUCAUAUGAAAUAUUAAAACCUUUAAUAUUUUUUUUUUCUUGGUUGACUUGGAUCAAUCCUUGUAACUCGAGACUCAGCUCCUUGAUUGAGUCGAUCUCGAGUCGGGUUUGAUAAUUAUGAAAAUAUUUAAUGAAAAAAUAUAUUUUUUUUGUAUAAAAAUGAAGGGUAAAAUAUUAAAUUAUGACAUAUAUCAUUAAUUAUUGACAUACUCUUGUAACAAGCAUGAAACUUUAUGUUAUUUCAUGAUACCCAUGUUUUUAACGCUUUACACCGCUUUAAUAAAUUGUUACAGUAAUAGCACAGAGAGAAGAACGGAUCAAGAGAAAAUAAUAAUGUAACCAUCUAGAAAGUGAUGCAAUGAUAAGAAUUUGGAACUAAAGAGUUUGUUUUUUUUUUUUUUUUCAGGUUCGAGUUUUGUGGUUGCUAAUAUAAUAGUUACUGGAGAUUUACAUGAUCGUUAACUUUAGGACUCGUAAGAUUAGUUUCGAGUUUUGUGGUUGCUAAUAUAAUAGUUACUGGAGAUUUACAUGAUCGUUAACUUUAGGACUCGUAAGAUUAGUCAAGAUGCAUGCAAACUGGACUGGAUACCUACAGGAAUCUAAAAAAAAAUAAUAAUGGAGAUGAAGCAAAAUCUCUGUUUGAUUUUUUCUUUUUUGUGUUUUUGGUACAUUGGUCAACAAUAGCUUGGAAGACUUUGGUAGCAGUAAGUAACCUGUUCUUCCUCAAUAAUGUUAACGCGUGGACCCUGUUGUUGUGGAAACUUUGCAGAGGAUCUUAAUAAAAACAAGUAAAUAGAAAAAUAUUAAUUUUUAAAUAUAAAAACUAGAAAACCUGAUAAUAUUGAAUAAAAAAUAAAAUAAAAAUUUAUUCUUUUCAAGUAGAAAAAAAAUAUAAAAGUUUAACAAUAUUGAAUAGAAAUAAAUAAAAUUUUUAAACUAAAUAAAAAUGAUAGAAAAAAAUAUUUAUUAUCUUAAAAAUUCUUAUAUUAAAAUCUUAAUUUAUCACAUGAACUGAGUCUAUAUGCUAAAAUCAGAAGAAAAAAAAAAACAAAUGUAACAAAAAAAAUUCUACACAACACAAUUAAUUAUAGGAUCGUAUAUUUCGAGACUAAAUUGAGGUUUUUGAAUUAUCUUUAAACAGAACAUGAUUUUAAUAGGUGCACUGUAUAUCCUUUGAAUUUAUUAGAAGUAACGUGUAAUGUAAAGUAUGAACCGCGUACCAUUAACUAGCCUUUUCAAUUGGAUUUUUUAUUUAAAUGAAAAGGAAAUUUUGUUUUAUUAUGAAAAUAAUAUUUAUUUUUUGAUAUAUCUAAUAAUAAUAAAAUAGAAAGUAGAUUGAAUAAAUGAUAUCAGUUCCUAUUAUGAUAUAUCUAGUAAAAGAAUAGAAUGAAUUAAAAUAUUCUUAAUAAAUAUAAAAGAUGGGGAAAUUACAUCACACGAAACUACCAAUAAGCAAAUUUUAAUCUGUAAUUAUGUAGGUCUUAAUUACAAGGGUUUUAAUUUAGGAAGUAUAUUAAAAAAUAAUAUAAAUUAUAUUCUAGAAUUUAUUUUAAUAGUUUAAAUUUUGAGAUGAAUUAAUAAGUCUUUACAAAUAAAAGAUAUAGUUUUACAAUAAAAUGCAUUUUUAGAAAUGAAAUUAUAUUAAAUUAAGCGUGCUCGAGAUUGUUCAAAUUAUUAAUUAAUUAUAAUUAACUUUAUGUCUUUAGAGGAAACAAAAGGGAAGGACAAAAUUAUUUUCCCCUCAACGAUAGACCUAGCCCACUUUCCAAACAAAAGGUAAAUAGAAUGAUGGUCUCAUAAAUUGCUUUUUUUCUUUCUAGCUCGUCAAGCAGUUUGGUCUCCCUCACUGGAAAAUCUCCUUUUUCCCUGCCUCUGUGCACGUAGGGGAAGAAGGAGAAUAGUAUCGUUCAAAAUAUCACUGUUUUGAAAUUUUUUUUGAAAAAAAUAAAAUGAAUUUAGGAAUAAUUUAAAAAUAGAUUAUGAUAUUUUCCAUCACUUUUUCUUAUCAUCAACUUCAAUAUGUUGCUUCUUUUUUAAAGGUUUAACACUAGAAAGCCUUUUUUUUGUUUCAUUCUUCAAAUCUUAAUAACAAACGUAUGUAAUAGACAAUUGAUAGUGAAAUGAAAAGGUUAAGGAAGAUGAAAUUGUAAGAAAAGAAAAUAAAUUUAAAAUAUUAUUAUGAAAAAAACAAAAAACAAUAAAAAAUAUGGACCAAAACUUAAAGAUAAAAAAAUUAAAGGUAAAAUUGAAAAAUAAUUCUAGUUUUAUAAAUUAUUAAAAAAAGAUUUCAAAUAUUUAAUGAUGAAAUCGAAAAAUAUUAACUUUAAAAAUUAGCCAGAAAAAUUCAAUAAAUAAUAAAAAAACAAACUCAAGAAAAUCUAAAUCAUUUAUAAAAUUAGUAAAAACUUCCACACUAAGUAAACAAAUAAAAACAAAACAAAUAGAAACAAGGAAGUAAAGUCUGUAAUUAAAUAUAUACGCGGAGACAAAAACAUGGGCAUGUGACAGGAGACAAAAGGGCAAAGGAAGGUCUCUAUCCAACUUCCUUUUCCUUUUUCUUAGAAAAAAAGUGACAAAAUCUGAUAGAACACAGAUUCCAUCUCUUUUUCAUUGGUUUUUUUGUUUUUUUAAUGUUUAUGCAUGUGGCUCAACCUUUCUCAGUAAUUGCAACAUGUUUCUUUGUUGAAUAAACUGCAAUACUGGUCUCCCUCACUGGACCCCUUUAUAAUGAGAAUCACACUAGGAAAUUUAAAAGUAAUUUGAAGUAUUAUUAAAGCCUAUAAAAAUAAAACUGAUAAUAAUAUAGUUGGGAUUUUAAAAAAAAAAUUGAUAAAAAACCAUAUAAAAAGAAAUUUGAAACAAAGUAAUCUUAAAAAACCAAAACAAACAUGCCAUGAAAACAAAUUUAAAAUAAACAAAAUACUUUAAAAAAAAAUAAUUCAACCAUUUCUUCAUAAAAAAAACAGUAAUUGGGUGUUACUUUAUGGUCAAAAAGUACAAUAAUGCAAAAAAAAAAAAAAAAAGAGUUUUAGGAUAUUGAUUUUAUUAUUUGUUAGGUAACUAUGUAAUCUAUACGUUGAUGUGGAAAAUAGGACUAAGUUUUUUUGUCAAAAGAGUAACUGUGUAAUCUAAUAUUCAUCUCUCAAAUCCCUAAUCCAAUUGAUCAUAUAAUUAAAUAAUUGUUUUAAUUAAUAACUAUAAGAAACAAACUCCCUUGUUAGUUCAUUACUUAAAUAAAAACUCAUGAUUGUCUAGCAAAGUAAAUAAAUUACUUAACCGGAUCACCAGAGGAGUUAUUUGCCAAAAUAAAAACUCAUGAUUGAGUUAUAUAACAGUUUAUAAAUCAUGCUAUCAUCUCCAUCACCAUAUAUAAAGCUAGACAAAAUAGGAUAAGACGGGAUUAAAUUUAAUUUUAGGAUAUAUUUGAGAAUAUGAUUGAAUCAUGCUUUUUAAAAUGUUUUUGAAUUAUUUUAAUAUGUUGAUGUCAAAAAUAAAUUUUAAAAAAUAUUAUUUUAAUAUAUUUAUAAUAAAAAAAUAUAUUUUAUAAAGCAAUUUUCACCAUAUUUUCAAAUAAAUUAAAAUUUUUCAAAUAAAUGGAUUGAUAUAUCGAUGACACUCUCUAGUCAGUUUUGAGAAUUUUGAAUCCAAACAAGUGAAUUUAUAUGCAUGCUUGUACAACUUGAUUUUCUCUUUAAUUUAAUCAACAAUAAUUUCUCAUACUCAAUAGAAAUUUGGGUUUAUCAUUAGGGUAAGACAACCUGUAUUUUAAAAUACUAUUGCCAAAAGAUCAUAUUAUUUAUUACCACAAGAAAGGACCAAAGUUAAUAAAUAAUAGCAUGCACGAAACUUCGUGAUACCCAUGUUUUCCACGUUUAAUAGAGUGUUACAGUAAAAGCACAGAGAGAAGAACGGUUCAAGACAGAACAAUAAUGUUAACGCGUGGACCCCAUUUGCUGUUUUUUCCUCUACGUGUUACCUUUUACCUCUUUUACCUCUUUUAUAAUUAUGAUUAUUGCAUUGCUAAUAAUUUCCAAGAAAGAUGAUGAACUUUUUUUAGUGAAUUCAAAAUAAACAAAAUAAGGUUUGUUGAGGCUUUUCUUGGAACCUCGCUCUGGGAUUAAUUAGCGAGAAUAAGAAAAUCCUGUGUAAAUUAUACAAAUUUCCUUGCUUUUUUUUUCCUGCAUGUGUUACAUUUUUAUCUUUUAUAAUUAUAAUUAUUGCAUUGCUAAUAAUUUGCAAGAAAGAAUAUUGUUUCUCUGAAAAGAAGUCUGAAUGUUUUUAGAAAGAAGCAGUCUUCAUUGCUUUUCAAAACCAAUCUCUGGAUCUAUUAACAAAAACUCUAAAUCGCGAGUAAUAGACACAAUUAAUUAUGCAUUGCUGUAAUAAAAUCACGUAUUUAUUUUCAAGUGGGAAAAAAUUAAGCCAUGAGGCCAGGGGUUCUUUGGUCUUUACCUAUUUUCGUUUUGGCCACCGAAUUUUAUUUUUUUUUCAAUAAAAGAGAAGGUUUUGUGUAAUUAUCAGAUAAUUGAAAUCAUCACUAACUCCUUUGUUCAUUUUCAUCUUUUUUUAUUACCCUUAGCAUGAUACACAGAAAAGAAGAACGGUCAAGAGAGAAGAAUAAUGGAGAUUACUGUGGAGAUGACGAAUCAAAAUCUUUGCUUGAUUUUCUGUUGUGUUUUUGGCACAUUGAUCAACAAUAGCUUGGAAGAGUUCGAUAGCAGAGGAAGAAAAAUAAUAGCAGUAACCUUUUCCACCUCAAUAAUGUUAACGCGUGGACCCAGUUGUCGUGGAAACUUUGCAGAGGAAGAAAAAUAAUAGCAGUGACCUUUUCUACCUAAUAAUUUGCAAGAGAGAAUUCUUUCUCUGAAUAUAUAGAAAAAAACUAUUAUUUUUUAAUAAAAACAACUAUAUAGAAAAAUUAUUACUUUUUAGGUAGAAAAACCUCAUGAUAUUGAAUAAAAAAAUGAAAUAGAAAAAUUAUUCUUUUCAAGUAGAAAAAAAUAUAAAAGUUUAGUAAUAUUGAAUAGAAAUAAAUAUUAAAAUUUCUAAACUAAAUAAAAAUAACAGAGAAAAAUAUAUAUUAUCCUAAAAGUUCUUAUAUUAAAAUAUUAAAAAGAACUGAGUUUACAUGCUUUAAACAGAAAAACAAUAAAAAAAACAAAUGUAACAAGAAAAAUUCCACGCAACAUAAUAUAUAUGAUAUAAAUUGAGGUUUUUAAAUUACCUAUAAACAUAUCAUAAUAUAUAUGGUACAUCCUUUGAAUUUAUUAGAAAGAAGCCAUUAACUAGCCUUUUCAAUUGGAUCUUUUAUUUAAAAGAAAAGGAAUAUUUAUUUUAAUAUGAAAAAAAUAUGUAUUUUUUAUAUAUAUCUAGUGAUAAUAAAUUAGAGGAUAGUAACAAGAAAAUAGAAAUUAGAUCAAAUAAAUGAUACCAAUUUUUAUUCUGAUAUAUCUAGCUAAAGAAUAGAAUGAAUUAAAACAUUCUUAAUAAAAAAAAAACAGAAAGAAAUAAAAAAAUAUUCUUAAUAAAUAUAAAAGAUAGGUGAAAUCAGAGAACAAGAAAGAAAUAUAGAAUCUCUUUCUAAGAUUUCUUGUUCCCUUUCCCUUCUUUACACGGCCUCCUCAAUGAAAAAGCAAACACCCCAUUUGAUUUUCAUUCAGUAUGAGAGUGAGAAUGAGAAUGAGAAUGAGAGAGAGGUAAUUUCGACUAUACAUAGAACUCGACAGGACAGAAGACUUAAAGAUAAAAUAGCUUUGAUUUACAACCAUGGCUUCAAGGGCCUGGAAUAGGACCAGGUACAAGUUUGUUUCUAUCUAAGAAAGCAAGAAGCUCCCACUAAUGCAUGCUCUCAACAAACUACCCCCAAUUUCGCCACUACAGCUCAAGUAGCUUUGAGUCAUUCCAACAAGUAGGAAUUGAAUUCAAAGGAAUAAAUCAUUAAAUGCGGAGUUGGUGUUCUCCUGUUUGUGGUUCUGAUAAAUGUAAGAACGGACAGAGAGAAGAAAUAGGAAAAAUCCAUGUAUCUAUUAGUUGGCAGCAGUUAUCAUUCGGCCCUUGCCGCCCACGAAAUCCCUUUAUCCUGCUGUUAAUUUUUUUAAAGACGCGUAUCAGGUGUUUGAUAAAAUUCCUCAACUGGAAAAAAAAACCAUGUUUAGAAUGCUUGAGUCCUUUACAAGUGGAAAGUGGGAACUAUCCACUUUCCCAUUUGAAAUCAUCACUAACUCCUUUGUUCAUUUUCUUCUUUUUUUAUUACCCUUAGCAUGAUACACAGAAAAGAAGAACGCGUGGUUCAAGAGAGAACAAUAAUGGAGGGGAAUCAAAAUCUUUGUUUGAUUUUAUGUUGUGUUUUUGGUACAUUGAUCAACAAUAGCUUGGAAGAGCUUGAUAGCAAUAACCUUUUCGACCUCAAUAAUUAAUGUUAAUGCGUGGAUCCAGUUGUUAUGGAAACUUUGCAAAGGAUCUGCAGGAAGAAAAAUGAAAAGCUUUUCGAACCUACAAUAUAGAGAGAGAAAUAAAUAAAUAAAAAGCUUUUCAAAACCAAUCUCAUGCCAAAUUGGUUUGUCUGUCCAGUACUUGAGCUUGCACACUUCGUUUAUAUUCAAACAAUAUUCUUCCGUUGCUUUUAUUCUUUACAAUAAUGUGAUAGGAAUAACAUUAAUAUUAUUAUAAAGAAAAAACUCCACCCACUUUGAAACACCUUUGAUGUGUUGAUUGAAAUUGACAAGUGAGUUUACUCACAUGUUGUUAUAUUGGUUUUGAGUUCAAAUAUGGAGAUUUUAUGAUUUAUUCACAUGAAUGCAUUCAUUUAUUCACCUAUUAACUAAAUCAUGUAUUCAAUAUGAAUGAUGGGAGAUUUUUAAUGUCUUCUGAAUACAUUCAUUUAUAUAUGAAAAUAAUUUAUGUGUGUGUAUAAGGUUAUUGAAAUGAAGAUUAUUAUCCUCCAGCUCAUCAUCAGAUCACACGAAAGGAACGCAGAAAGACAUUCCCUUUCUUGUCAUAAAGUUUUGAAUAGAAUGCCCAUCAAAAAGUACUUUCGUGCAUUAUUGUCAUAAAGUUUUUCAAACUUCCAAUAUAGAGAGAGAAAUUAAAAAAAAAAAAAAAGCAAAAGGAAACAACCCCCACCUCAUCUUUCUUGUUCCCUUUUCCUUCUUUACAUGGCUUACUCAAUGAAAAAGCAAGCACUAAGGCACCUUCUCCACAAACUACCCCCCAAUUUCGCCACUAUAUAAAUAUUAUGGAAAACAAGAUAAAAAGAAAUCUUUUGGUACAUAUAUAAAUAUAUUAUGGAAAUUAACAUGGUAUCAGAGUAUCUGUGAACUAUUGCUGGGAUUGGGAAGUCAUAAUUUUUGACACGCCUAAUCACAGUCUUUUUUGGAAAAAGAAGAAGAAGCCAGGCUAUGAAAAUAGGUUUCUGGAAAUUUACAUCAUUUGAUUUUGACAAUUGCAUGGAAAUGGUCUUCUUAGUUUGCCGUGUGGAAAAUCAUGUCAUUUACGGGACUGCUGGACAGAGUGUCUAUUGAUAAUUUUACCUUCUUUUAAAAUCUUUGACACUACUUGCAUUGACUGGUAAUUUCGCUCGAAAAUUUCUAGUAAUUUAUAAAGGAAAUUUUUACUGUAUAUGAAUUGAAAAACUAUUAUUGACUGACUUCUUGCAAAGUAUUUGUAAAAAAGCUAAAGAAUUUAAGUCUUUUAAUUUUUAAAAUUAUAAUUUGUUGAGGCUUAUCUUGGAACCUCGCUUUGGGAUUAAUUAGCGAGAAUAAGAAAAUCCUAUGCAAAUUAUACAAAAUUUAUUAUUAAUCAUCUAUAUUUAUUAUUGAUCAUCAAUAUUGAAUAAUGGCUUAUUUUCUAGUAUAAACAAUGUUUGAAAUAAAAUUGAUAAAAGAUAGUAUACAUAAUUAUUAAUGAUGGGAUUGUUUAUAAAAAUGACUAAAUUAAGGUUUUUUAAUUAUCUUUUAACAUUUUAUGAUUUUAAUAGAUGGGCUGUACAUCAUGUAAAUUAUAAAAGAAUAUUUAUUUUUCUGAUAUAAUAAUAAUAAUAAUUAUAAUAACAAUAAUAAUAAUAAAUUAGAUGAUACUAACGAGAAAAUAGGAAUUAGUUUGAAUAAAUGAUACCAGUUCCCAUGAUGAUAUAUCUAAAGUCCUAAACUUCAAGAAUUUCUCUUCUUUAUCUUUUGUAUUUUCUCAUUUUCUUGGCAUGCGCGCAGCUGCUUCAUGGAAAAAACGUUUCAGAUGCGGAAAAUAAAAGCGGAAAAAAAAAUCCCAAAUAUCAGCAAACAUCACAAGAGAAGCUUGAUCUCAACAAGAUGUUGCAGUCCACAGUCUUUCCAUUACAUUAUAAUUACUUCUAAAAAAAAUUAAUUUAAUUUUUAAUUAUAAGCCAUCAGCAACUACCUCAAAAUUACCACUCUGAAUUCCAGCUCAAUAUCGAUUAACAUGUGGCUACAGAAUUUGAAUUAAGUUCAAUUAUACAAAAUCCUGUGCAAAUUAUACAAAAUCCUGUGCAAAUUAUACAAAAUCCUGCUUUAAGUUCUUGGAACCUAGCUCUGAGAUUAAUUAGCGAGGAUAAGAAAAUUCAGUGCAAAUUAUAUAAAAUUUAUUAUUAAUUAUCGAUGUUCAAGAUUUUCUUAAAUGUUAUUUUAUUUUCAUUAUUAUUUAUAAAAAUCCAAAAAAAUUAAGAAAAAGUUUAAAAAUUCAAAAAUAUAUUUUUCUCGAGUCAAUCACAUUUUUCCAUCAAAACCAAGUCCACCGGGUCAAACCAUGUCGACUAGGGUAAAAAAUGAGUUUCGGGUCAAAACCGUCAUUUCCGACCAAAACCGAGCUCACCGGGUCAAUACGGGUCAAACCAUGUCGACCAGGGUAAAAAAUAAGUUUCGGGUCAAAACCGUCAUUUCCGACCAAAACCGAGCUCACCGGGUCAGGACGGGUCAAACCAUGUCGACCAGGGUAAAAAAUGAGUUUCGGGUUGUUUCGGGUCAAAACCGUCAUUUCCGACCAAAACCGAGUCAUUAGGUCAGUACGGGUCAAACCAUGUCGACCAGGGUAAAAAAUGAGUUUCGGGUUGUUUCGGGUCAAAAACUGUUAUUUUCGACCACAACCCGGUUCACCGGGUUGAUACCCAUCAAAUGUUUUUUUUGAUAUUCUAUUUCUUUUUUUGCGGUUGAAACCGGCUUUUUCUAAUACUAAUUUGAAUUUUUAAUUUUACCUAUAUAAAUAUUUAUUAUUAUAUAUAAUAAAACAAAAUCAAUAAUUCAACAAUUUGUCAGCGGAGCAGUUGAUUUUUUUAUUUAAGGUAGAUGGCAGAAGGGAAAGGAAAACAGAAAGAAAGAAAGAAAGAAAGAGAGAAGAGUGUACUAUUCAUAUCUUUUUUAGUUUUUCUUCAUGAGAGUAGGAUAUUGUUUUUUUUUAAAAACAAUAUGGAAAAUAUCAAACAUAUCCCAACCACUGGAUUCAAUAGUGUUAGUUCUGGGCCUUUAAUUUAAUAGGAUACAAUAGGACUUACCACACUAGAUUAAAACCCAAACACAUCUCAGCCCUUGAAAUAAUCUAAGCUUUGAUCCCGUUGCCCCACGUCACCCGGUGUACUGAGAUUUCGGUGCACCGCGUCACACCAGGUCAAACAUCUGCUCAUCCAGACCGUCCGAUCAACCUGCAGAUCGAGCCAAUCACAACCACACGAUCUUUUCAUCAGAGAUCCAACAGAUCACAGGCUUAAGUUGCACCGGUGUAUAGUGCUAGCGCUCACACCGUAGUAUAACCCAAAGCCUCUCUCUCCUAUCGCCGGCGACUCUCUCUCUCCUCCGAUCUCCCAUCUCCGGCUGUAUAAAGCCUCCAAACUACCACAGAAAGGUCGCCAACCUCCUACAAAGCAAAACACCGGCCUUUUUCAGCGUUUUCUCCGCCUUAUCUGGCCGCAAAAAGGCCGCGAUCGUCGCUGGCCAGCGACGCUUCAAGUCGUCGAUUCUCACUCAUCAGCCAUCAACGACCGUCAAGACCACCACCAUCAGAAUCCUCGACAUCAGAUCUACCAGGAUCGACCAUCGGUUGGACAGAAAUCUCACCGGAAAAUCUCGCCGCCGCCAACAGUAACCGCACGUGAGACACGCGCCACCAGUGGCAUUUUCGUAAUUUUUCAAGAAAUCCGAGGGUAUUUAAGUCUUUUACCUGGCACUCAUGUAUUUUUUUUAUCUAACAUUUUUUUAUUUUGUAUAAAAAUUUUCUUGCAUGUAGAAAAAAAAUAAAAAAAAAAUAAAUAUAAAAAACGACGUGGGUCCAACACCCAUCUUAUCAUAUUAUUGGUCGUGGGUGCAAAGCCCAACCUCUCAAGAAUAGUUAUACCUAUUUUUAAUGACAUCAAAAUAUUUGUUUUUAUAAAUAAAUAUUAUUUGUUGACACGUCUCUUUUUAUAGAAAAGGACCGAUGUCAAAAAAAGUUUAAAUACCAAACAAAUAUGGAUUAUGUUUAUAAUUUUGUUUUUUUUGUAAAUCAGACGUAAAUCUCCUUUUUAGGAUUAGACAUCGAUAUUUUAGACGAGUCUUCUAUUUUUAAGGACUGAUGUCAUUUUUAAUGUGUCUCUUAUUUUUAAGGACCGACGUUAACCAUUUUAAAAAAAUAAUAAAAUUACAAAUAAGCUCAAAAUACAAUAUCAUUUGAAACAAAAAAAAAACACAAGUAAAGAUAACUUUUCUUUUGAAAUGAUAAUUUAAGGGUGAUGUCUACCUUCCCUUAAUCAUAACUAACCCAGUACCUAAAUCUCUGGGACCAGUGUCUAAUUUGGGAUUUUUAGUUCCCUCAUAUUACUAGAUGGCGACUCCAAUAAAAUCUUAAUUUCCCCAAUAAAAAAUCUCUUUUUAUUAAAUAAACAAAAAAAGCGGAGCCAACAAAAAAAAUAGAGCCGUCGCCCGACAUUGUGUAUAAGUUUAUAUAAGCUUAUUUGAACUCGUACACGUUAAAGAAUAGUAUUGACCUUGAUAUUAGUUAUAAAUAAAUUGGUUUUUCAGGAAGAUAUUGUUUUAGGUUUAUUUCUUUAUUUAAGCUUGUUGAAUUCUAGGCCUUAUAUGAUAUUAGUUGAUGUGAUUUGGAUUUAUUUUUAAGUUAAUUUGUGUGUGGGUAGUAAUAAGUGUAUAUGAAUAUGAAUUGAAGUAAGUACCUUAACAAAUGUGAUGGGUUGGUGUGAAGCUUUGAUUAAUUGCUAUAUUUUGAUGUCAUGAGCAAAUACCUUAACAAAUUUGAAUAUUUGAAAGAUAAUAAAUAAAUAUUGAAGAAUUGUAUAGAAAGAAUCGUAUCGAAAUUAUGGAAAAUAUGAUUUUGUCCUGAAAUUCUAAAAAACAAUUAUAGUUUGGUCACUGGUUGUAAAUAAUAAAUUUUAAAAUAUUUUUUGAUAAAUAUUGAUGAUUUAUUAUCAAUUUUUAUUGUUAUCAUUUAAAUUUAAAAUUAAAUAUAUUCUGUAUUUAAAUGUGUUUCGUUUCUUUGGAAACUGCAUGUGUUGGGAAAACUAGGGACAACUAACCGGAUCAAUUCAGCGGAAUACAAUUCACAAUUCACAAGUCCCAAUCAUUUUUCCCUCUUUGUGCAGUAAAAACAGAAUCAAACAAUGAACAAAUAUAAUGCAACAAUCACACAAAUCAACGCCAAGAUUUUUACGUGGAAAACCCGAUGCGAGAAAAACCACGGGACCGGAGUCCACCUAAAAACUUCCACUAUCACAAAUAAUGGGUUCACAAUUGUUCUUCCUCAGAUUCAACUAAGGGCUACAACAUAUAUAUAUCAUCAAGAACAACUUAUUCUCGGAUUACAACAAGAUUAAAGAGAGUAAUGUUAGAGAAAAGCUCACAACACUGACAGCCCUGUUUUCUGUCAAAACGACCAGCUUCCACACCACCAAUCUUCAAUCCAACCGUUCAGAAUGAAGAGGAACGUGUCUAGAAGUUUCUGUCAAAAUCUCAGCCCGAUCCAACGGUGAAACAACUGGAAAAUGAAGAAAGAAGACAGACUGCUCUGCUGCCUCCUCUUCUUUCUUUCUCUCGGUUUUCUUCUCCUCUCUUCUCAAAUUUUCUACUACUAUCUACAGUAACCGUUUCAUUUAAUUUAAACCAAAGAGGCAGCCAGCUGCCUCCUUAAUUAAUGUGGUGGUCCCCCAUCACAUGGUGCGGGACCACACAACAGUAUGCUAGAGUCUCUCAAUAUAUUAAAAGGGCUAACUAUAAGGUAAAAUAAUGAUCAGUUUUAGUUAGCUCCUGCGGGACUUUGCAUUCUAUAAUUUAUGCUAUGCAUUCUAUAACCCUUGGCCCUCUAAAUUACCCAAAAAGGACAAUAAUUGAGCUUGGUGAUCUAAGAGCACAAGUGGUACAGUUCUCAAUCGAAUUUUAGCAAAAUCAAGGAUCCAAGAAAUGGCCUCUGUAACAUGGUAGCUAUGAUUUGAAACAAAUGUAGCUAUGUUUUCUCCUUUUAUUAUAAAAAAUUAAUAUUCAUGGAUUAAUUUUCAUAUAAUUUAAGAAAGCAAGUACUUUAAUCAAAUUUUACAUUGACCAUCCUCAAUGUGUUUAAAGUAAAUGUUAAUUACCAAGCUGUUGCAAUUAAACCUGACCGGCCCGGUAGGUUUACUGUUACCUUUUACCUUUUAUAAUUAUGAUUAUUGCCUUGAAUAUAUUAUUUGAUUAGUCCAUUUAUAGGUUGACUCUACUAUUCCUGCCUUGCAUUGACAGUAAAUUUCACUAGAAAUUUCAAGUAAUUUACACAGGAAAUUUCCUGGUGAUAAACCUGGAAUCUGAUUUUCAACUUUCGUAGGCACUAAAGUCCCAAACUUCAAGAAUUUCAGAAUAUCAAUUCAACCGUACUCCAAAGAACACUCAUACUCCAAUAUCAGCAACGACCACGAAAGUUACCACUCUAAAUUCCAGCUCAAUAAUUUGUUCUUUGACAAUUAUUGCAUUGCUAAUAAUUUGCAAGGAAACAUACUUUUAACUACAAGAGUCUGUUUGAUAUUUUUCCAACUUUUACUGUUUCACUUCAAAGUUUCAAUAAUUGUUUUUUCAUUACAUAUUCUUUCCAACGUGUAAUAAUUCGGAACCACUCGCAAUAAAUAAAGCCAGCAAAGGCAGAUGUGUUUGUCUAUAUAUACAUGAACCUGCUGAUUCGAUUUGAACACCCCAUUUCUCCGAUUCAAUAACUUCAGUUGCAAAACUUCUCUCUCCGAUUGCUGCAAUUUCAUAGCUAACUCUUUGUUAUACACAGGUAUAUAUGGCUAACUCUUCUUAGCUUCUUUCUUGUUUUAAUUUCAUGUCUCUACCAUUAACAAUAAUGUGAAAGCUUUGCUUGUUUCAUGUUUAACUUCAGUUGCUAUUGUCCUAUGCUUUCUCAUUAUUAAGCUUAAAUUGCUAAUUGAUUGUUCCUUAAAUUCUGCAGCUGAAAUGAGAGAGUCAGAGUCUUCUCGUUCUAUACCAGAAGGGGCCUAUGAUGUCUUCUUGAGUUUUAGAGGAGAAGAAACUCGCAAGACGUUUACUGGUCAUCUAUAUGCUGCCUUAGAUGAAGCAGGAAUCCACACUUUUCUAGAUGAUGUUGAACUUCCUAGAGGAGAAGAAAUCUCCGAGCAUCUUCUCAAGGCAAUUCGAGAAUCAAAGAUAUCCAUAGUUGUCUUCUCAAAAGGAUAUGCUUCUUCUAGAUGGUGUCUCAAUGAACUUGUAGAGAUUCUAAAGUGCAAAAGGAAGAAAACCGGUCAGAUUGUUCUUCCUAUAUUCUAUGACAUUGAUCCUUCAGAUGUGAGAAAACAGACUGGCAGUUUUGCAGAGGCAUUUGAUAAGCAUGAAGAGCGUUUUGAAGAGGAGUUGGUGAAGGAGUGGAGAAAAGCUCUUGAGGAUGCCGGAAACCUAUCUGGAUGGAGUCUCAAUGAUAUGGCAUAUGGGUAUUCCUUUUCUCUCUAAGAUUCACUUGCAGACGUUUAUGGAGUAAUUUUACAUUACAUUUUUCAAUGUGAAGUUAUAAAAUAUUUCUUUUUAGCAUACUUAAUUGACUUGCUAUCGAUGACUUGCCUUUUUUUCUGUGAGCAGGCAUGAAGCAAAAUUUAUCAGAGGUUCCUGAGCACCUCGUAGGUAUGGAUCGGUGUACUCACAAUAUUUAUGACUUUCUAAGUAAUGCAACAGAUGAUGUACGCAUUGUGGGCAUACAUGGGAUGCCAGGAAUAGGAAAGACAACUAUAGCAAAAGUUGUAUUUAAUCAACUCUGCAAUGGAUUCGAUGGAAGCUGUUUUCUUUCGGAUAUCAAUGAAAGGUCAAAACAAGUUAAUGGUCUGGCUCUUCUACAAAAGCGACUUCUUCACGAUAUUUUAAAACAAGAUGCUGCAAACUUCGAUUGUGUUGAUAGAGGAAAGGUUCUAAUCAAAGAGCGACUUUGUCGCAAAAGAGUUCUUGUUGUUGCUGAUGAUGUUGCUCAUCAGGACCAGCUAAAAGCUCUGAUGGGAGAUCGAAGUUGGUUUGGUCCCGGAAGUAGAGUAAUUAUUACAACAAGAAAUUCAAAUCUUCUUCGUAAAGCGGAUCGAACAUAUCAAAUUGAAGAAUUGACAAGAGAUCAGUCCCUUCAGCUUUUCAGCUGGCAUGCCUUUGAGGACACCAAGCCAGCAGAAGAUUAUAUUGAGCUUUCAAAGAAAGCAGUUGAUUACUGUGGAGGACUUCCUUUAGCUCUUGAUGUUAUGGGUGCUUGUCUGUCCGGGAAAAACAGAGAUGGUUGGAAAUCUGUAAUUGACAAAUUGAAAAGAAUUCCAAACCACGAUAUUCAAAGAAAGCUUAGAAUAAGUUAUGACUUACUGGACGGUGAAGAACUAAAAAAUGCAUUCCUUGAUAUCGCAUGCUUCUUUAUUGAUAGAAAGAAAGAGUACAUCGCAAAACUGCUAGGAGCCCGUUGCGGUUACAAUCCAGAAGUUGAUUUGCAAACUCUCCAUGAAAGGUCUCUGAUUAAAGUAUUGGGAGAGACGGUAACCAUGCAUGAUCUAUUACGAGACAUGGGAAGGGAGGUCGUUCGUGAAUCGCCUCCAAAAGAACCUGGAAAGAGGACCAGAAUUUGGAAUCAAGAGGAUGCAUGGAAUGUCCUUCAGCAGCAGAAGGUAAGAGCUCAAUGCAUACAUGAAAGCAUAGUCAAACUUAUUACAUAUAAUUGAAUGAAAGUUGUAUUGAUUUUAUUUUUUUAGGGUACGGAAGUUGUAGAGGGUCUUAAACUGGAUGUCAGAGCAUCAGAAACUAAAUCACUGAGCACAGGAUCAUUUGCAAAAAUGAAAGGCUUAAAUUUACUCCAAAUCAACGGAGCACAUCUCACCGGAUCCUUCAAAUUGCUUUCUAAAGAGUUGAUGUGGAUUUGUUGGCAUGAAUUUCCUUUGAAAUAUUUUCCAUCUGAUUUUACUUUGGACAAUCUAGCUGUUCUUGAUAUGCAGUACAGUAACCUCAAAGAAUUAUGGAAGGGAAAAAAGGUGAGAAACAUGCUGCAAUCCCCAAAAUUUGUCCAGUAUGUAAUUUAUAUUUACAUGUUAUGACUUUCUAUGAUUAAUUUUCAUUAUUUUUCUCUCUAUUAUAACAGAUUCUCGACAAGCUUAAAAUUCUUAAUCUCAGUCAUUCUCAGCACCUUCUUAAAACACCAAACUUACACAGUUCAAGUCUAGAGAAACUAAUUCUGAAAGGUUGCUCGAGUUUAGUUGAGGUGCAUCAAUCAAUUGAAAAUUUGACGAGCCUUGUUUUCUUGAAUCUGAAGGGAUGUUGGAGUCUGAAGACUCUCCCUGAAAGCAUUGACAAUGUAAAAUAUCUUGAAACUCUGAAUAUAUCUGGGUGUUCACAACUUGAGAAAUUGCCGGAACGCAUGGGUGAUAUGGAAUCCUUAACCGAGCUGCUAGCUGAUGGGAUUGAAAAUGAGAAAUGUCUCUCUUCAAUUGGACAAUUUAAGCAUGUCAGAAGGUUAUCAUUGCGUCGAAAUAGUUCGGCUCCACCAAGUUCUUCUUUGAUUUCAAUAGGUGUUUUGAAUUGGAAACGUUGGCCGCCAGCAUCUUUCAUUGAAUGGAUAUUAGUGAAACAUCUUGAGCUUUCUAAUAGUGGUUUGUCUGAUCGCGCAACUAACUGUGUUGAUUUCAGUGGUUUGUCUGCUCUAGAAAAAUUGGAUCUAGAUGGAAACAAAUUCUCUAGGCUGCCUUCUGGGAUCGGCUUCCUUCUCAAGCUAAGGGAUUUGUCUGUUGAGGGAUGCAAAUAUCUUGUAUCAAUCCCAGAUCUUCCCUCAAGUUUAACGCGUUUGGGUGCAUCUUAUUGCAAAUCAUUGAAAAGAGUAAGAAUACCAAGCGAGCCAAAAAAAGAACUAUAUAUAUUCCUAGAUGAAAGUCAUUCGUUAGAAGAGUUUCAGGACAUUGAAGGUCUAAGUAAUAGUUUCUGGUAUAUUCGUGUUGAUGACCGCAGUCAUUCACCAAGUAAAUUACAGAAGAGCGUUGUUGAGGUACUAUUUCUUUCUGUCUCUCUUUCGCACAAAAAGAAACACACAUAAUUGGCACAUACAUUGAUUAAUGUCUAAGAUCCUAGCAUUUCUUGAAAUCAAUAUGUAUACAGGCAAUAAUCAUUAUUAUUAUUAUUUUAUUUUAAAAAAUAAGUAUCAUCUUUAAUAAUAUUUUUUAUUUUUCUUAUUUAAUCUAAAAAAUUAAAUAUUAUCUUUAAUAAUAUGUUUUUAUUAAAUAUUUAAAGUCUGAUUGGUUUUAUUUUUUAUUUCUUGAUUUUAUGAUAAUAUAUUUAUACAGGCAAUGUGCAACGGUCGUCACGGGUAUUUUAUUCGCCACACUCCUGGUCAGAUGCCAAAUUGGAUGAGCUACAGGGGAGAAGGACGCUCAUUGUCAUUCCAUAUACCUCCAGUCUUCCAAGGCUUAGUUGUUUGGGUUGAUAAGGAUGAUAAGGAUGCUCACAUUAUUAUUAUUAUAAGAAAUAAUAGAAAUGGUAAUCUCUUGUUUCAAUGUACGAAAUGGUAUUAUCAUCCAAAAACUGGAAGUAUAAGAUACAUAAGAAGAAGUGAAAUGGCAAUGGAAGAUUACUGUGCAGAUGACGAAUUGGAACUAUACAUUUAUUCAAAGCCAUCACCGUUGGCAAUGGCAAUGGCAAUGAAGGAUGCUGUGAUGCCUUCAUUUGAACCGUCUACACCUAAGCAAUGUGGGGUCCAUGUGAUCGUAGGAAAGUCAGAUUCAUUUGAAGAGUUGGCAGUGGGAAGAGAUGCAGUGAUGCUUCCUCAUCCUCGUUGUGGUUCGAUUACAGCGUCUACACCUAAGCAAUGGAUUGACUUUUUAUUUGCGAAGCUGCAAAACCAUAACCUCAAUUUAAGGCUUUUUGGUAAGAAUACAUAUUUCCUUUAGUUAUUUCUAUUUUAAUAUUCUAUUUAAUUUAAGAGAUUAAAUAUCAUCUUUAAUUAUUACAUUUUUCUUAUUUAAUCUAAAAAAAUAAAUAUUAUCUUUAACAAUAUUUUUUAUUAAAUAUUUAGAGUCUGCUUGGUUUUAAUUAUUUCUUUUCUUGAUUUUAUGAUAAUAUUUUUCUUAUUUAAUAUAAAAAAUAAAUAUUAUCUUUAAUACUUAGAUCUAUCGAAUAUCACUUAAAAAAUAAAUUGUAACUUUAAUAAUUAUUUUUUGAAAA